This is a non-coding RNA of Xyrichtys novacula (pearly razorfish), 72393 nucleotides long. The record is from the annotation of a GenBank genome assembly. NCBI's taxonomy places the organism in Eukaryota, Metazoa, Chordata, Actinopteri, Labriformes, Labridae.
UCAGGGCUCGCAGAAGAACGACUCAACGAUUCAGUGUAACACCAGCUCGUCGCAUAUGUACUGUAAUCGUGGUCUCACUGAAUCCUCCACACAAGCUGUCCUUGGAUCAUUCUGUGAGUAAAUCCCUCGGUAUCUUAAAAGAACAGCCUGAUAAUGGCUGCAGAUUGCCUCAGCUCUGUAGGUAUGAGAAGCUUACAUUACCUGCUACAUUAUCUAGGCAGCCAAAGAUGCUGGAGGGAGAAAGUAAAGAAUAGGGAAGACUCCAGCAGAAGGUCAUAUUGAUUGAUAAAGCACCCUGUGGACUGGACUCUGGAUUGUUCACCCCCCAUAGUGUGUUUGUUGUGGGAUACCAGACAGCUGCCUGAAGGCCCCGACAAACACAGACAGGCAGAGAAAGACGGUGAAAUCAAUGAUGGUCUCCUACUGAGCUCCGAUAGGUUCUUCCCAAUCAUCUAAAGUGGCUCCCUUGGCACUUUUACUUGCACCUCCACUGAAAGAAAUAGCAUGAUUUGUUAAAGACACUUGAGUUCAGGGCAGAAAGGCAAGCACACUCUGCACUAAAGCAGCAAUCAAUGACUGAAGGAAGAUACAUCUCUUUCAAGAAAAGAGAACCCUGGCAUUAAAAAGUAACUCAAGACCAAAAUACUAUAAAUUCCAGCCUGUGAAGGAUGGAGAUGGGUAAGCAUGUGUGUGAGAAAGGCUACAUUUGCCUAUUGAGACCAGGCCCAGCCCCUGGUGUUUCCUCUCUCCCUCGUGGACUUCUGACAGAGCCAGAUAGGCCUCCUCACUGCUGACAGCCAAAUGUCCUCAUCCAUCCUCAUCCGAGAGGCCUGCAGGCAUCAUCAACCCCAUCUUGAUUUCCCCGUACGAAACCCCACACCAGAAAUCUUGUGCCAUGGAGCCCAGCAGAGCCAUGGAGCCCGGAGCAUCUCAGUGGCGUCUCUGUCAAUAUGUCAUCAUCGUCAUAGCUGCCAGUUGGCAGCAUCGUAACCCGCUGCAGAUGUGUCAGCAAAAACAGCCUUCAUUCUAUUAUUAUUUCUUUCCACUGAGUGUCCAUUGUAGGAUAUAAACCUCCUUCGAAUUCAUAGUGAGGACCAUAAUUCAAGCAGCCCAUGAUAUUCUCCCCAUUGCUGUGAUGGAGAGGUAUUUGGGACAAUGAACAGACCCAUGAGGGAGCAUUUGUUUUGUGUGGGGGUAGGUGGGAGGGGCGCAUCAGAUGGGUAGAGCUGUAUGAGCAGACUUCAGCCCUUGUAUAGGCCAACCUAGCUGUGCUGACAAUACAACUUUAACUGAUGUGGAGGAUAAACCAACUAUCUUAUAGGAUAAUACACUCUCAGAAUAAAUGUUGCGCAAGUAAGUGUUUUAUCAGUUUUAUCUUCUGUGUUGAUCCUCAGGUUGGACUAUGGAGAAAUACUUCAUAAGGGUCCUUUUUGCCACAAAAAAGACAGAGUUUCUGAAAAGCUCGAAAGAAACCAUCACAGAGGUACUGAAGCUAUAACACUGGUGCCUUUAAGCAAUGUUCUGACUGUGCCUCCAGUACACUUAUUUUACCUUAACGUCGCCAUCUGACCUGAACAGCCAACUGCUGCAGUAUGCUACAAUAAAGCACAACAGUCACAACUCACAAAACCGGCCAAUAUUUAUUAAUUGAGACCACAUAGUAGACUGUAAAUAUGAGUCACUUUGCUAAAAGCCAGAAAAUCACAGCAAUAAUACAGCCAUUUGGAAAACAGAAUCAUUCUCAGUGGAACAUUUCUGGGCUUCAUAUCAUCAGACUUGAGAUGGUAAUUGUCUGUAGUGCAUUUAGUGAGGGUCACAGAGGUAGCAGAGAAGAUAAAGGAAAAUAGGAGAAGCACAAGAAGAAUAAGUACAGGCAGACUUUUCCCUACAGAGUCUCUGGCAGCAUGUGCCUUUCUAACAAAUGACAGGAAAUUGCAACUUUGCAGCUAUUGCUGUAAUUUAAUUCUGCGUGUCGAGGAGGGGAGCAGAACAAGUCUGCACAUGUCAGCUUGACCUUCCUAAGACUAUAACAUGAUGCUCUACUAUCAGGGGACAUGGCAACUUUGAGAUUUCAUUUCAGUAGCAAAAACUAGAAAGGCAGAGAUUCUUAUCAUAUAUGUUACAUACAAUCCGCUUUGUAAAUACUGAGGUACUUUUUACUUCUUCUAAUAUGUUGAAAAAAAAUAACUUUCCUCUUUUUCUAGAACAUUUCACUGUGUUAAUACAGUGGGUGAAUCCUUCGUUCAAUGGCAGGAUGUUAAACACUCAAUUGAAAAUCAUGUUUUUCUGGUUGUCUAUAUGUUUAAAUGGCAUUUUCUGAUGCUAGAGGACACAUCAUGGGAAAACUAAGAGCAAAAUUGCAUUUCUGAGUAUUUCCGCAUUCAAAUCACCAUGAACCUCUGGCAGAACCAAAUGGCAGAUUUAGGCAUACUUGGAUUUUCUACGUCACAAGUCCAGGCUCUGCCCCCAUACCCUUAGAAGACCCUGCCAGACCCUGAGAAGUAGAUAGGAAGGUGGCAGAACAAGUGAGUGCGUUAGCUGAUUGCAAUGCCAAAUAGAAAUCUAAUUAGGAUAUUAACUUUCAUCAUGCCCCUAAAGACAUUAGUUGAAUUAAUUAGAAGUAGUUGAAUUAGUAGAAGUAGCAGGCAACAUUCAAGCUGAACAGCUCCUAUGUUACCUGCUACUUCUGCCACACCAGCAAUGUUAGGCUACAAGCAAGUGUGAAAAGGAAUGUGCAGAACAGUGCUGUCCCGCCCAUGACUAAGAGGCAAAUUGCUAAUGAUCUACUAGAGCUCUGCAGAAGAAAAGCCCUUUAAAAUAACACAAGUAAUGUGAUUUUAGCUAUAAACUACAUAAUCAUAUAUGAAGCUUAUUGGAGUGGGACUUAAAAGUGUUUAGAAUAAGUGUUUCCUCCUUAACAGUUCAAUGACCACUGCCCAUUCAUACUUUUUAUUGUUGUAUGGUUCUAUAUCAGCCUGUACGUAAGGCUAUAGCCAGAACCCUAAAAUGCUUUUCAAAUCAAGAACAGUCAUAUAGGUCUGCAUAUUGUUGUUGACAUUUACAUGUAGUUAAUAGACAAGUCCCAUGUAGCUCAGAUUGGAAGUAUGUCAUUUGAUGACAUGCAUUAGUAUAAAGUCAAUGGGAAAUUACACACAUUAGUCAGCAUACCCUUUGAGCAUAUCGUAGGUUAUACAUUAGUAUGUGGGUUUGGAAAUAAAUUACGAGACUAUCAAUAAUUUAUUUAACAAGUUAACAUCACGCUAACAAUGAAAAAAACAAUAUACUCGUAUAUAAUGCAGAGAGGUACUCUGCAGUGGUCACCAUACUGGCAACAUGCAGUCAGUCUACCAGAGACAGGCUUUUAGCCUCCACACAAAUAUCUACAUUGUACCCGCCCAGCCAUGGCUCUGAUUUACCAGGCUUGUAAUCUUUAUCACUUGGAAACUAAUGCGUUACAAAAUAAUUAAUUUUCCAAACAGUUGGUGUUGUGAAAGCCCUGAGCUAUUCAGGCCAAACCUGUUUUUUGAACCAGGCUGUGUAAUAAAUGUAGCGUUUUGUUCUCGUGUGUAUGUGGUUUCAGGUCUUUCUGCAGUCAGCCUCAGGUGGACACUUGGGGAACUGCAAUUUGUGGCACUUGUGCAUUGGCUUUAUUCCUUAAAGCCUGAGGUUACCUUUCGGUCUGUCCAUACCCCACAGAUAUCAGUGCUUCCUUAGGAAGAGCUUAACCCCACACCAGUAGUCAGAAGGAUGGAGAAAACAGAGAAUAUCAGAGCAUCACAACUGCAUAGAAACUGCAUGUUGUUUAACACUUAUGCUGUUUAACACCAAAGUGCAACCUCUUUUUCCUCUGGAAAAAAACAAAAAACAGACUGUGUCUGCUAUACUGCUGCAAUUUAUUUGUAUUCAUCUAGAAAUUCAAGGGAUGGCAAUGGUCAAACAGUAACUUACACAGGACUGGGAACAUUUCUGAUAACAGACAACUUAUCUGACAUUAUCUCCAAAAUGUUUGUUCCUGACUUGACCAACACGUUCUCUUGCAGAGGAUUGUGUUUGCAUUGAGAUCAGCACACCGGUUCAUUAGGUGAAACGUCUGCGGCUAUAUGUGAGGUGAUGUGUAACCUUUGACCGAAGACUGUUUUUCAUAGCUAGGUCAUUCAUCUUCAUUUUCUCUGGGUGGUUACAGUGCAGUUGAGCUUUAAUUCAAACAGCUGAGGUGUUUGGAUAGCUUGCUCCAUUGAGCUAAACACACCCAAGCUGUCUGAAAUGACACCCAUCAGUCAAACUUUGUUUCAAUAAAGGAUCAGGUUAAGUUCAUGUAAUCACUUACUGUAAUUGAACUUUCAGGAUCACAUUCUUCAGCAGUGUAAAAAUAAGGAAACAGGCUUGUCAUGAAUAACUCAAGAGAGCUGGAAAAAAAAAGAAGAAAAAAAAAAACUUUCCAAAUCCUCCACUUCAGCAAAAAGAAGAAUGAACUUCCACAUAAAAGAUGGCUCAUAUAAAUGACUGUCUGUGUUAGGAGGAGAAGAAGCAUUAUUUGAAGUGUUUCUUUUUUUUCCCUUCAGUAUGUCUGAUAGAAAGUGAACUGUCCUUCCAGCGACUAUAAAUCUCAGGGUAUUAACGUGGUGGAGGAGCAUUCAAAUCAGCUCAUUCCCGCAGCAGUCGAUGGCUAGCCUCUCAGGGACGCUGAUUGACAUUUUAUACAGCGCCUGUAGUUUAGUGGUAUUGAUGGCAUUCAAUUUAACAGUAUAUUUUUUUAAUAAGGGUGCUGCCAGAUGCCUGGUGCUUCCAAAGUGCUCUUUCAGAGAGAGCGAGUUGAAGAGAAAGUGAUUGAGACACAGAGAAGGUCAGAACUUCGUGUUGCGCUCUCUCUGAAGCAAUUAUCUUAAGAUACUUGCCUUUUUUUGCAGGGCUGAGUAAACACAUUGCUCUAAGAGUUUAACUUCUUUUACUGAUUGGCUCAGUACUCCAGGACACUUAUAAUGAGACAAUGACUGACUCUUUUUGUCAGGUGUAAUUCAGAGGUGUCAAAGGCAUUAUCAGGUAGAGCAGAAAAAAAUUAAAUUACUGCAUGAUAAAAUAUUUCUUUUUUAUAACACAAAUAAGGAAAUCCAAGUUGAUAAGUUUGCAACCAAAAGAAACCAGUGAACCCAUGGUAGCCCUAUGGAGGUGUCAGCACCUUUGCUCUUGCUUGUUUCAGAGUGUCUUUUCCCCCCAGUUUGGAUUUGUCUGCAAGUUUAGGGAAAAACUGAGCUGAUGUCAUGAGACUGAUGUGAUUGGUCUGAAAUAUGUUUAUAAUAAGACCUGAAAUGUGUGAACACCUCAGAUUGUACUCCUUAUCGUUGUUGAAUGUAUUUUGAUGUGAUUUACAGUGUGUUCAGUGCCUCUGCAUUGUUGAAGGACCAUUACACAUUUGCAGGAGGAAUGCUACAGUAGUCAAAAUUGGCAAAACCAGAGAUCUGCUGAUCUUUGCAGAGGUGGUUUAUCAGGACAAAAAUGCAUAUGGCAGUUCUUACUUGUGCAGCAGAGUCUGAGGGCUUUGAUAUUUUAAAGUCUGUUUGCAUUGGACGGAAUUAAGGUCUGAAAAAUUUUGAGUACGGACAUUUAAGGUGUUGAAAGUCAGCUUUGUCCUCUUCUCAUAUCAGGUUUUGGGUGCAGCAACUGUUUCUAUUCAUGUUUCAUCAGUCAGGCUGCUUCCACAAGAAUUAGGCUGCUGACUCUAAGCUCAUAAUGUCCACUUGUCCUUUCAAACAGAUGGAAUUAUUAUUAUUUUUUUUCCUUUUUUUUCACUUGGGUCAAACACAAAGAUCAGACUUUAUUUCAUAUUUGUGCUGGGGCCUGUAUCUGUAGGAAACAGCUCAGUAAAGAAUGGGCUGCAGAUGCUCCAUAUGUGAAUGAUGUCUCUGCUGUACAAAUAACUAGCUUUGCUGGUCUGAAUACUCAUGGCCAUUUUGCACACAGUAUUGAGCCUAAGAGUUUUCAAAGAAUAUGACAGGGUCUUGUGUCCAAACAACAGAGAAAGGCUGCAUUAAUUUGUAUGACAUGCCAUUGCCCUCUCCCCAGCCAUCCCCUUUAUGAAUGCCAUAGGGCAUCCACUUAGUCUAGACACUCGACCACACAAGGCGACACUGGUUGCCCUAGUCUUAGACACUGCCAUCUGUGCGUGCACGCUGCUGAGUCUGUGUACACCGAACCACUAACACGAAAGGAAAAAGAGAUUCAUGUGGCGCACACAUGCACCACGUGGCUCUGACAGAAAGAGAACGAGUGUGAGACACACCAACACCCCCCCACCCCACCUCGCCUGUGGGUACAAGGAAUCUGUGGCAGACAGUGUCACCCGCCCUGGCUACUGCUUUAAUUAAAGCUCUAAUGAUAGGCUUUCAACUUAUCAUCACACAUAAUCGCUCGGCGCUAGUUAGCUCUGGCACAAUUGCAACCAUCUGCUCUGCUAAGAACACAUUCUGAUCAUUCUUUUUAUAGCGCCAGUAGUUCACUUACAGUAUUUAUAUUAGGAGACCCCCAUUAUGUGACAGUCUGUUUAAAUGUUGAACAUUAAUGGGGCACAUCUGUGUUUGAGGCACUUAGUUUAGUAACACUGAUGAACAACUAAAAGUCAUCAGAAAAACUGGAAUAAACUGUGUGACUUGAUUUAGUGUUAAUGUUUUUUAAAGAACCUAUCAAAAUUUUUUGUAUUUUUAUUACUUGAUUCAGUAUUUCUCCUGCUGCUGUUAUCAAUUUUUCAUUGGGUGGAUUUAGAUGUCUUGUUCUGAAAUCAGUUGAUGCAUUUUGGCACACAAUAUUUGAGUCAAAGAGAAGUGUUUGUAAUUUAGGCCUUUUUCGCAGAUCACUGCAUUAUCAAACACCGAAAUUUACAUCGAACAUUUAAUUAUUUAGCAAAGAUGGAAGAGUAUUUUCAAACUUUAAUUUGUCAAACUGAUUUUAAACUUAGCACUUAGGGGUAUAUCAAAUAUUUUGUGCUGUAUAAAUAAAAUUAGAUCUUGACAUGAAAGGGGGCUCCGGGUUGGGAUUGAACGCCCGCUGGAGGAGGUCUGAGUAUGUAUGGCUCAUACUGCCUGGCUAACUGUGCCUCAUGAUUGAGUUUUUUUAAAACAUGAACUUUGUUUUAUACCAGCUGUUUAAGAUAGUUAAAAGUAAAAUUUAACAAGUCAGCCUGCAGGAUGUUUCAGCAUCUAUAAAACAUAGACGUUUACAUAUUUUAAUCCAAACACACACAAUCAAGUUGAUAAAGUGAUCUGCCAAGUGUUCAGUUCAUAUGUCACUCUGACCAGAUUUUUUUUCGACAGUUUGGAUAGCACAAGUUACGUGGAAUGUGAUUUUUUCAAAUCAUGUUCUUUUAGGAUAUAUAGGUUCAAAAUCAGGCACAGGUCAACCAAAAUAACUCAUAAUGAUAACUGUAAUACUUCUAUGCUAAACCUAUAAUGUUUUUUAGCAUUUCCCACUUUGUUGUGAGGUAAAAGCAAAUAUAAAAUUGUAAACAUAGCUCAAAGCUUCACAGCUAUUUUUUAUUGUUUAAAAUCAUGCAUCAUCAAAAACAUCUUUUUCUCUUUCUCUCUCUAUUCUGUUGUUGCAAUAUGAUGAAUUGUGAUACCAAACAAAAAUGAUCUUUAUUAACUUUUCUAUUUGAGUUUUACAACCCCUGUCAAUCAGCGCUGUUAUUCUGUAAAACAAGAAUAGGUCAACACGUAACCAACUAUACACCAGCUAAUGAUACAGUGCUAGAAAGCAACAACAUUCCCUGUGAUAACACUACCAGACCAAGGGGGGCAGGGAUCAGCUACAGCACAUGAAACAUGGGCUGUGUCUCAUUUCAGCGAGCGCACCGUUGAACGGCACAUUUUAAGUGUGCGUGAUGUCAUCAAGCGGAGUGAACGGUGUCCCAUUUGUGCCCCAUUUGUGCCCCUUGAAAUGCUGAGUGCGCUUCAAAUUCGAAACCACACUGCCCCCGCCCCUUUUUCAAGUGUGCAUUUAUGCUACUUUGGUGGCCUUGGUAUCCCAGAAUUCUUUGCGUGCUGCUGCACAGCUGCGCAUUUCGGGUGAGUGGCCGGACUCACUUGGAGACGCAGCGCGUCUUCAAAGAAAAUACAAGAAAUCCAAAAACACAACUCAGCUCAGGCUGAGCGCAUGAUCUCAUAACUCACUAAAAUCUGCAGCUGCAAAUCAAACAUUAUACUCUUUAGAGACCAACUAAUCCGCUCUGCUACCACAAUCAAAAACAUUAGAAAUAAGGGAGCUGACAAAAGCGGGUCAUUCAGAGAGAUUUUGUGGUUUUUCAAGAAACAAUCCAACUGAUGAUCAACAUUUGUGAUCCAGAGGGAGUCGAGCUCCGACGAGCACCACGUCUCUGACACCGGCGGUAACCUACACCUGCAGAGACACCAACACCUUAUUAUGGCAUAUGGAUUCAUAUCAUAAACUAAAGCUCAAUGUUAUUCACGGAUAUUCACGGCUGCAUUGAUGGAUUUAUCCACAGCAUAUCCAUAUCUGCCUCCACAAACGCAGCGAUUUUCUCCGAGUCCACCUGUUUGAUUUCCGUGAAAAAGACACAUUUCUCAUAUAUUCUUUUUAAGUCUUUAUACUUAUGACAAUGUAAUGCUGAUGUGCCAAAGGUUGAAGUAUCUGCUUGUUUGUCAAACCUAUACUGAAGCAGUUUCUUAAAAUGCUUCAUGGCCCUAAUUUUAACAACUCUCCUUUGAAAUAACAGGUAACCUUAGGACUUUAUUCUAAUAAAUUAAUGACUUUAUUCUCGUAAAUUUACGACUUAAUUCUCUAUAUGGCCCUCAUAGUCUUUCAUUCAAAACAUGAAAUCAUUGGAUGAAUUUUGUGGUAAUGAUCUGUGCUUGUAUGUAUCUAUUGUCUGUGCUAGGUCGUACAAUUAAAAAAUAACUGUUGCGCUCCGCAGCUUUUCUUUAAGUCAGUCGUGACGCAAGCCUGAGGGCGGGGACAUUUGGCAACUCAACCAGGAAGUCCUCCGAACAGUAGUCCGUCCCAUUUCACAAUAACCGGACCAUCUCACUCAGGGUACUCAAGUCCACAAAACGGCAGUGCGCUCAGCUAAGUGCGCUUGAGCGCUCUCAGCCUGAUGUGGUCUCUGAAAUGAGACACAGCCAUGGUACACACAGCUGCAGUAGAAUCAGGGAUGUUACCACAGAUAUCCACCACUCAGAAGGAAAACAAACUGAGAUGCUUAUUGAGGAAAAAAGAAAGAAAAUCCAGAAAAGAGGAAGCCCUAUUUUUGCUAUUGGACACUACCUGAAUAUUGGUUGUUUGAUCUUGAGGGGAAUAAAAGCGGCAGUGAAGUGGACUUUGAAAUAAAUAUGCAGUGUUGCUCUGUGAAGCAUUCUCUCCAGCAUGGUAACUACAACUAUUAUAUCACAUAAACCAAUUUUGAUGAUAGCACUUUUUUCUCAAUUUUACAAUUUCAAGCAAAAUCAAAAAGCAAUUGAGUUUUUGUUUCAUGCAGAGAACAAUUAGGUGUAUUUUUUGUGAAUAAACCUGGGGUCAAAUACAGAGCACUUAGGGAUUAUUUACUAGCUGGGAGACGCAGCCACAGUCUCGCUGACAGACAAACUGCACCCUGAGAGCUGAUGUAAUCCUCCUCCAUGUUGGGAGCCUCAAAAGCUCUGCUGAUAGAAAAAGUUUUGGCACAGUGAAGUGAUGAGAACAGCUUGCCUCCACUGAUGUAAAUCCUGUCUGUGUUUACUGAGGCUUCCUAAUCAAAGGAAGGAGGGAGAGAUGGAUAGUCGCAGGGAGGACGUGAAAUGAACAGGAAGCUGCAGAUCUGCACAGCUGAGUCACUGUAUGUGUGUGCUGUGGGGUUAAUAGAGUGAGUAUGUGUAGGGGUCUAAUGUGGGGGGUCUAAUGGCCCGUAUAGAGAUUUUAAUGGUUUGGUUUUUCAUGCCAUUCUGAAUUCAUAUUAGGGCAGGUCACUUGCCGAGCACUUAAGUAUGCCUGUGUAUGUAUUAAGGCUUUAAUUUUGCUGGCUGCCGCCUACAUUAGAGUUCUUUGAUGGUGAGAUGAACCACCUUUUUUUAUUCUCAUUGUUUAUCUUUAUUUUUACAUUGGUCUGGUCUCCUUCAAGUUCACCCUGUGGCACACCACUUCCUUCUUCUUCUUCUUCUUUCUUCUCUUUCUAUCUCCUGCCUGCAGCUUAAAGUGAACAGAGGAUGACACGAAUAACAAAAGGUUUACUGUCGGCAGUGUUUGACAACCUUUCCCUCCGGUGCUCUUUAAUCAUUCAUGCUUCAUUAACUGGCUAUCUGUUAUCACUCUGCAUCACACUUUGGAAGAGGAUGAGAGGUGGAGAGCUGUGUGGCAACAAUCCAUUUCCCUCAUACAAAAUGUGGCCUUUUAUUUUUCUAAGUAGGCAAACUUAGGGACCUGAGGUCUUUACUUUACAGGGUUACUAUCGGACAUAGAGGGUACAUUCUUUAUCAUUGGAUAGUAACAAGAGAAAAUUGUUCACGAUUCUUUAUUGAGCAGUAAAGAACAGUAAAGGAGGUUUCCUGCACUGCCUUCUUAAUAGGCUCUGUAAAAAGCUUUUGGGUGCUGUAAGGAAGCAAUUAAAACUCAGACUGCAAAGUUCAGGUCUUUAGCACUGUGUCAGACCAAACACACUCAAUAUUUCUGUAAUUGUUUUGAUUAAUAAUUUGGUGACUUGUGUAUUUCACAUGUGGUCAUUUCAUUUGUGUCAUUUUUUUCAAACAUACCUCCCAGGUUAGAAGUCAGGUUAGGUGACAACUAGAGUUUAACUCCUGGAAAAACUCAAUUAGCCUAACUUAUUCAUGAAGAAGCUUUAUUUGAAUCGAGCCCCAGUCUAAAUCCACACAACUAUACAGUGUACUGUGUUUUGCUCAGCUACUGUAAGCUCCUGAGAGCCCUGCAAUCCAGCAAUAAAACAUAAGAAACUCUGAGACACACACCUCAGCUCCUGGUGCAGGCCCUUGUAAUAUCACACAUUGACUGGUGCAACUCCUUACUGGCAGGCCUCCCUGCAUUCACAGUCAAACCUUUGCAGAUGAUCCAAAAUGCAGCAGUCUGCUACAACAGCUCAUGUCAGUCCUUGGUUCAUCUCUGCUGGCUUCCAGUAGCACACCUGCAUCAAAUAUACUGCUCUACUUAUUACCUACAACACUACAACUAAAUAUCCUCUAGUCUACCUGCAGUCCCUUAUGCAAGUCUACAAUCCUUCCCAUCUGUUAUGCUCUAAAGAAAGGUGCCGUUUCCUUGUGAACUCACGUUGGUAAUGCAGUAAACUCAGGGCUCGACAGUGCGAAUGUUUCACUCGCAUUUGCGACUAAAAAUAGUUGUGUGCGAAUUGUAAAAUAUAUUUAGGGGCACAUAUGUGCUUAAAAACAUAUGCAAUGAAUGUUUUUUUCAUGGAAACACCGCAGCAAAGUUAGUUUUAGGUUGGAUAUUCAACUGACAUGCACACCUGAUCUACCAGUGUCUUCUCACUCUCCAUAACUGGGAAUGGCAAGAGCAGCAUGGUUAAAUCUACUCGGCAUCCUCGCUGUUAAUGUCAAGUGUUGAAUAAGGGACCAUCAAUAAAUUACCUCUGAUGUUCUCAAAAAAAAGGCUGUUUUCCUUCAAUAGCUUCCAUAUCAUGUGACCAAUUAACCUAAAAUUGAUUUCAAAUAAUAGUACUAAGGUCGGACGAUAAGACAUGCUUUUUAUUUUCCUCAUUUGUCCUCUAAAUUUCUUUUUUGUUAGAUUUAAAGGCAAAUUUUGAACUUUUUUUUUCAAAAGCUUCCAUGUCAUGUUACAAAUUGACCUAAAAUUGAUUUAAAAAAAAUUGUACUUAUAUUGACCAAUAAGACACACAUUAUUUAAUCAAUUUUUCUUGUUCCCCUAAAGUUCUGUGUGUGCUCCUUACUUUUUCAACUGCACAUGUGCUCCUUCUGAAAAAAGUUAGUGUCAAGCACUGAAACUCCAGGAUGCUUUUGAGUCAAGUCUCCAGGGCUGUCUUCAAGCACACUUGCUCAAGUCAAGGAUGAGGCUAAAAAGGCUAUAUCUGUUCAGGGAAUAGCUAAUAAAAGUAUUAAUUAAGGGAAAAAAUGCCAUCCGGCUUUGACCCUCUCUGAGUCAUCAUAAGGGUUUGGUUAUAGUUAAAAAGACACAGUGACCUCAAAGCGCUUUGCACUGGACUACUAUGUAGACCCUCCAGGAAUCUGCAGAAAAAAAAACAACCUAAAAUUUCCAGUUCUGAAGCAAACAUAUUUUUUCAUGUCAUAAUAAAGAAAAUAAUAUCUUUUGAAAUGAAUUGCAAAACCAAUACACUAUGAAACUAUCUUAUAAAUCAUCAAUCAACAUCAAUAUUCUCUUUGUCCCCCUUGGGCAGAUUUAUUUGCAGCAACUUCAAAAAAGAAUAUAGUGCAUAUUAUACUGUCACAAAAUGGAGCAACAGUCAGAUAAUAAAUGUAAACAAAUACAAGUGCAGAAUAUUUCACCAAACCAUCAUGGGUGAUGGCUUAGGAAUACAAAUGCCUGGAGCUGUGAUUCUCACACAAAAAUAUAUAUAGCUUUGCUGCUGGCGUCUGAAGAUUUGUCAGAGAAAGCGCUCCAUUUUGAGUGUCCCUGGAGCUGCUUGCUGUCGCUCAUCAUACGCUGUGUUUUUUACUCCAUUAAAAAUAUGCCAUCCGCUCUACAGCCCGCCUUUCCAUCUGGGAUCCUCCUCACACACGCACCAGAUCACACAAGCAACCAGGCGAUGCCAAACCUUUCUGCAUUCGGCUGUGAGUUCCCGUUCCUGUGUAUCUGACCCAUCUAUCUGACCAUGUCAUCGAGCGGCCAGGAUGAAAACUACAUGUAAAAUAUAAUAUUCUGCACCUCACCUCGUAUUACAUGGACUACUUUAAUUUCCACGGAGGACUCUGAAAUCUGCGAUAAUUUCCGCGAUCACGGAAUCGCAGAUUCCUGGAGGGUCUAACUAUGGUAUAUAGACUGACUUGUUAACAAAUUAAAGAUUUAAAGAUUAAAAAGAGCAUAGCGUGACUUGUCAGUAUUAACUAGGUUGUAGUCAUAAACACAGAUGAGCACAGGUCUCCUCUAAAGCUCAAUGUGAUGGUGUCCAGCCAGUGUGCUAUUUAUUCCUGGACUUGUUGUUUUAAUUCAUUGGAGAAUAAAUCGUCCUUGAAUGAUGUAAUCGACUUGAAAAAUUGUUUAUGCCUCUCUUGCACUUCUUGCGCUUGACUCUCCUUUGACCAUUAAUGACUGUGAAGCUCAGAUAUAAAUGUGGGUCUGCUUAUGAGCCAUGACAUACAUUACAAGCAUCGGUCUUCAAGGCUGCCGCUUAACCAAUGUAUCAUGACAGGCAAUUGACUCUGUGUGAUCUCUCCUUUUCCUCUGGCUGAACCGUAGAGAUAUGAUCAGAGCUGGGCUGCAGAUGUGUGCCUGGGAAGUGGUGGCAGUCCACUGGAGUUAAAAUGUGCCCCCGAGAGAAGGAAGUGUAGUUUUUUAUCAGAUGGAAAGAUCAGAGGAGACGAAUAAUUCAGUUAUCACAUCUGCAGUGAUUACAGGGACAGGACGCAGUCUGCAGAUAAGGAUCUGAGGACUUCUUAGAGACUCAGCGCAGUUAUUCGGAAACUGAAAAACCCACAUCUCAACACAGCAGUGCACAGCGUCCUCCUUUCGCUGUGUCAUCGGUCUCUUUUUAUCUCACCUUGCUGAAUCUGUUUCAUCUUUUCUCAUUUUGUCUCAUCGGUUUGUCAGGAGUCAUCUCAUUAAUGAAGCAGUGAACUUGCAGGAGACGUCCUGCUGCUGUUUCAUCUGCUCUUAUUUUAUCUCACCCUGACUUAUCUUAAGUUGUCGUCUCUCAUCUUGUCUGACUUAGUGUGGGCAUGGAUUUGUUUCAUGACCCUGUGCGCUCCCUCUUCUUGGUUUCAGGUAGUUUGAGCAGAAAGCAAAUAAGUGCUGCAGUGUCUUUCCUGGCUUUAACACUUAAGAAGUUAUGCACUUGUGUUAAGCAAGUUCACAAACACCACCUCAUCUCAUUUGUUCUUAUUUUACUGAUUCAUUUUUAUAUGUUAGUAAUGUUUUUGUUUGUCUUAAUUUGAGGGCAAACUUUUUCAACUAAGCUUAUCUAAUUUUCCUUCUCACAGAUGAAUCACCAUAUUUUCAAGAGGGUCCAAACACAAAAUGUACAAUUCAAUAUGGAUGACAAACACAUAAAAAGAUGCUCAUGCAUCCACGCACCCAUGUACGUGCUAUGGACAACUUGGUUCCGCCUUCCGCCAGUGUAUGAAUUUGAAGCCAAAAAGCUCUCGGUAUUACCAGGUUUUUUCUCCACUUCCUGAAACCAACAUUGUGCAGUAACGUUGUAUGCAAUAUCUGCAAAGACAUUUAUGGGCAGUAGCAACUAGGUAAGAAUUAGUCUUCUUGUUUGAUAUGUGGGUAGCCAAAAUAACUUCCUUUGACAACAUUUGACUUAGGAGACUUCUAGGUCAAUCCAGAAGCCCUAUCCUAUUGGUGGAAUGAUGGUAGCCUUAAACGACAUGAUGGUGCCUCACAAGAACCCCAUUUGUCAAAUUUUGAAAAUCAAAUCAUGUCAUCUUGAACCUUGUUUUACUCUAGAUAUCCCUUGGUUGCAUUUUGAUUCCUACCCCCCCACCAAAACCCUCAAACAUGUUUUUUUUUUGUUGUUGUUGUUCUUAUUUUGCCUUAUGAUGUAUUUCCUGUUUCUCUCUGAUCUCGUCAUCUCAUCGCCUUAUGUAAGUCAAUCACCUGGUUCCACUCUAGUUUAAAAGUAGUCCCCUUCUCUCAUGUCAUCUCAUCACAGCUCUUUCAGUGACUUUUAUUCACUUUUUGCUGUUGCGUUUGGUUUGUCUUGGGUUGUCUUGGAUUCUCUUGCAUUUUUUCCCAUUAAUUUUCUUCUGCGAUGUCUUUAGUUACAUGUCCUAACAGGAAUCCUUUUUAGUGGGGCGAGAUAAACCAUAAAGCAUAUAUCUUUCAUCUGGGCAGAAACUGCUUUGGAUGUUUUCACAGACCAAUCAUUUAUUUAGUGUUUAUCUACUUCAGUCUGACAUGAAGACUUACGAACCUUAUUAAAAUCCAGUAAAUAAAAUCUGGAAAACUGAUGUCAUUAAAAUUCUUUCAAACUUAGAUCGUCUCUCUCUGUAUAUAUUUCAAUGUUGAUUCAAGGUUUUGCUUGAUACCGUACCAAAUUAAAAGGCAGCCAGCCACGGUCUGUUAAGCAUUAUAGACUGUGAAUGCAAACUGUGACACUGUUAUAAAGACAGGUUUACAUCAAGAGAUAUGAACAGUUCCGUGCUCUCUCUCUCUCUCUCUCUCUCUCUCGCUCGCACGCACACACACACACACACACACACAGAGGCACACAUUAUCAUCUCUUUCUACUUGUUGAGACCUCCAAUCUUUCAAUCAUAUCCUUCAUGUAAAUCACCUUCUUUUGUUGGAGCCACCUGGGACCAAUGUGACAAACUGUCUCACUUUCUUUAUCGCAGUAAUUAGCUGCCUCCUCUGUCCGACUGCUGGCUAACACACACACACGCACGCAUGCACACACACACACACACACACACACACACACACACACUGGAAAGAGUAAAUUCCUCUCCUUUCUUUCUCAUUUUCCUUUUUCUGUUUCUUGUACAGCUCACACUUGUCAGCCUGGUCAUUAUCCUGUCAUGUUGGCUUGCCAGAGCUCAUCACAAACGGCCAAAUUACUGCUGAGACAGAUGACACAGUGUUAGUGCCUACAUGUGCAUGUGUGCUUGUGUGUGUUUGUUUAUGUUGGUCUUUCUUUAUAGCAGUCACUGCCUCUGCUUUAACUGGAAUUUGGAUUGAAAUCUGAACUUUUUGUCUUGAAGCCUGUCAAGUCAACAGGAAAGGAAUGCUUUGACCGAAACUUCAAAACGUUUUUCUGCAGCACUCCCUUAAAUUCAACAUCAUUGCAAAAAAUAGGAACAUUUGCUAUGUUCUUUUAAUUCAGGUGGCAAAGUUACUCAUUAAAGAGCAUAGAGGUUGUUUUUUUCGGACACAGGCUGAUCUUUGGUUCCUACUCUUACAUCACUACGUCUGCACAGCUGCAGUUACCUCAGCUUUUUAAGAAUGCUGUUUUGACAUUUUUCCUCCUAAUUUAAUGUUUACUAGUGCCUUGUCUAGUUUAAGGUUUAAUUCGUACGCAUAUGUUGCCUUAAUAAGAUUAUAAAGCAUCUUGAAAAAAUAUUUAGCAAAACUUUUUAGAGAAUUUUUUUAUGAUUUAAAUCUGCUUGAAAGUUUUGCUCACAUCUUUUUUAGUGUUUAUCUACUUCAGUCUGACAUGAAGACUUACGAACACUUAUUAAGCAUGAGAUUUUCAGAUCAGGGUGAACUAACAGCUUAUCUAAAAUUAGGGCUCCCCCUGGUUUAUAAGGACAUGUUUGCUUGCAGGGCUGCCACUAGGAGCCUUUAAAGACCGAUGCUAAAUCCCCACCAGUUGCUCAUGUCCUGACAUAUAACAGAUGUUGACCUUUACAAGGCACAAGAAAGAGAGGUCCUCCCAAUGGCAUGAGUACAUUUAUUAUUCAUAAUUAUCAUGAAACACAAAUAUUAUGAUACCACACAGGGAGUUGUCUGUCCUUUCAAAACAAACCCAAGUGAAUUUCACAAACCUUCGAGUUCUGGCUGCAGCAAGUGAUAAGAACUUUGUAAAAUGUUUCCAUGAGCAGAAAGAGCCUGUCUUAGAGAUCCAAAAAUGUAAAAAUCCUAUUUUCGAUGAAAGAACAUCUGCUUCAUUUUAAACUGAAAUUAGAAGUUCAGAUUUGUUGUUGCAUCCAUUUGUACAUAAAUAACUAGAGUUUUUUACUCUUUACAGACGUCACAGACAAAGGAGCCUGGAGCGAUGGGCAUAGGGCAUAAUGGGGGAUGCAGUUUAGGACCAAGACAUAGUUGUUUUCAUCAUGACACAUGCUCUUUCAAACCCAACUCACUGCACCCCUGUAGAGUAGGAAAGCCUUACCUGUGCUUAAUCUGUCAGUGUGAACAGGGAGUUUCUGCAGCCAGAGUCCACCUCUCUGUGAAAUUUCCCUGGAUAAAUAAAGUUUAUGUUUUUUGGCGGUAAUACAGACAUCAGAGCUUCUCAGGAAGACAAGCAGUUGGAUUUAUGGCACGGGGAUGAAGUCUGUGGACACAUAUUAAAAAAAAAAAAGAAAAAAAGAAGGACAGAGCACAGCCAAACAUAUGGUUUGGCUCUGACUAAGUACUCCAGAUGGGGGCUGAACACACAGAUGGCACACCUACUGUCAGGUAGGUAAAGGUUGAUUGUCAAAUAUAGAGUGUUUGAAUACUGGAGAGACAGCUGGCUGUCAUGGCAAGGAAAUUUAGCUGUGUACUGUAAUAAUUCAAGCUAACGAGGGACAACUGUGUUCCCUAAAGAUGUUUUUAUAUGCAAUGGUAAUUCAUGUAUAUAUAUAUAUAUAUAUAUAUAUAUAUAUAUAUGAGGAAAGAAGGAUACACAGAAAGAGAAACUGCAAAAUGCCUAAAGGUGUUUAACAAAGGAGUCCACCACACUGAAGAGACGAGAGGAACCUGUAAGUUAUCAUGACAGAAAAAGACCUGGACGAAAGAGAGUUACUACAAAAUCAGAGGAUAAACAUAGCAUUGUCACCAGUAAGAGAGAUCGGCACCAAAAAUAAGGGAGGAAAUCAACAUGACAAGGUCGAAACCCAUAUCUCUGACAACUGUGAAAUGACGUUUGAGAAAGGCUGGUCUGAAGGGUUGUGUAUCUGCAAAAAAACACUACUUCGUCCACAGAACAAGAAAAAGAGAUAUGAGUGGGCAAAAGCUCACAAAAAUUGGACUUAUGAGAAACAAGUUGUUGUUUGGUUCAAAACGCAGAGUCUAUGUCCGCAGACAAACUGGUGAAUGUCUGAAAGCACCAUGUGUUACACCACAAUUCAGCAUGGAGGUGGUAGUUCAUGGUAUGGGGAUGUUUAUCAGGUGAUGGAGUAGGAGAUUUGUUUGAAGUAAAGGGUAUCAUGAAGAAGGAACAGUACCACUCCAUCCUCCAGCACCAUGCUGUUCCAUCUGGACUCAGACUUGUGGCUCAUAAGUUUGUUUUGCAGCAAGACAAUGACCCUAAGCUCUCUGCCAAGCUCUGUCAGGGUUACCUAGACAAAAAAGAAGAGGGAGGUGUUCUUCAAAAGAUGGUUUGGCCCCCUCAGUCUCCAGACCUUUCUGAAUUGAGCUUGUGCUGGAUGAAUUGGAUUGAUCGGUCAGAAAAACACGUCCCACGAAUCAGCAGUCUCUUUUUAAUGAAAUUAAGAAAGCUUGGAAUGCAAUCCCUGGAACAUACCUUAAAAAAACUUGGAAUGAAUGCCUGGUAUAUGCCGAGCUUUUGUUAAAGCCAGAGGAGGUUACUUUAAAGAAAGCAAAGUCUAAGCAACAAUAACUCAAAUACCUAAUAAUUAUAGUCAAAAUGUCUUCUGAUAAGUUACUCUUUACACAAUAGUCAUGUUUAUUGUGUUGCAAAUUAUAUGAAACUAUGAUUUUUUUUUGUACAAAUCUGAUCUUGCUUCCAAACUUUUGGAUAUAUAUAUAUAUAUAUAUAUAUAUAUAUAUAUAUAUAUAUAUAUAUAUGUAUCUGCCAUGUCAAGGUAAAACACUGUUUUCCUGGAGAAUUUUGAAGACUGUAACAUGUCUCUGUGCAGUGUUGUAAUGCAUGGAGUAAUAAAAGCCUACUGAAUGUUGAAAUAAAAUUAAAAAAAUAAAUACAAUUAUAAUCCGUGUCCUAUAUAACAUUAACCCAUUCAGCUAUUGUCCAUGUAGAUGACUGUACCCUCAAAAUUUUUCCAUUCUUUUGUGGUGUUAUCUGCUGCAUGCAUACAGCUGGCUUACUAACUUUGUAAUCUAAGUCUGUAUAAAAUAAACCAGAAAUUGAGAUUCUGGAAAAAAAGAAAUCCUGAUGCUUUCAAGAUGGACAAAGUUUUACUUAAAGUUUGAUGGAGAAUUUCAGUUUUUAUUUAUUUAUAUGUUUGACAAGUAUAAUGACUCUGUGACAUCCUGCAUGCUAAAUUUUUCAACAGUGUUUCACUAUGGCCAGUUAAUUAAUAUAAAUAAGCUGUUAAUUUCACAACACUAAUGAAGUUGUUGUUGUUUUUUAUGUCGCCAGCUGGACCCCAUGAAUUACAACAACCUAUCCUGAAUAAAGACUGUGCAGCUCUAAUGUAAUAUAUUUUUUUGUUGUUGUAGUUUUUUUACUACCCUUUAUAGCUUUAAUUUUGCAAGAUAUGCUUUUCCCCAUUCUCUGCAUCUUUAGAGCUCACAUAAAUAUUUACAAACCCCCUGCCUGGUUUUCAUUAGGGGGGUUAAAUCCUCAUGCUGCUGACCUGAUCAACCCAUUCAGAUCAUGAGGCAGUGAGAAAACACAAACACACUAAAGCUAAUGAUGCAUAAGUAUUCCCUCACUCAGGGGCACUGAACCUGCAAUAUUUUAAACAUCUAUUAAAACAAAAACAAACAAAAUCCAAAUCUGGAUUAUAUGAUUGAGGACUUUGUCGUGUCAGGGUGGAAAUAGGCACCGAGGAAUCUGGUCAGCAGUUUCUGUGUAGGCCCUUCUAGAAUUUCUGCUGCUACCGGCUAUCAAACAGUCUGAGAAAGUUUAGACUAAAAUAUUGACUUAAACUUGAUGAAAACUGAGAUCCACUGACUAAAUCUUGACUUAAAUAACAAAGGACAGAAAGACCAAAAUCAACCACUGUUUACUGAAAAUGUUCAAGACUAAAACUCAAUUUAAAACCUUUAAAAAUUAAUGAACAGCUGCAUUUAAAGAAGGGGGUAUUCUGCAUUUUUGUCAAACUAUACUUCUUUUCUGAUUCCUCUGUAAUAUCUUUACAUGAUAUUAUGGAGACCGAACAUUACAACUUUGCAUUUUUUGUUGUUAAUGAGGAAAAGCAAAGUACCACCCCUUAAACAUCACAGAUGAGUUACUCAUCUAUUUUCUUUUUUGUUUGGACUGAUGGAGCAGCUGAGAACUCAGCACAUUCUUUAUAUGUCAAGUAACAAAAAAGUGAAGGCAAAAGUACAAAGUUGAUCACUUAUCCAAACAACUUCCAUUUAAACAUGCAGAUACAAAAUCUAUCAGUCUGGAUUUGAAAAGCUUUAAAAACAGACACUGGCAUCUGCGGAGCAUGUUUGUAUUUAUACACUUCUGUAUCAAUGAAGCAAAAAUGUUGGAUAUGUCUGCACUCACAAGAAAAAAAAAUCUAAAUGUAAUUAUGACCUGGAUUUCUUUGCAAAUGCUACUUACCAGCUGGAAACUGCUGAUGUGACUCUGACAUGACAUGAGAGGUGCAGCAGCUGAACUCCACAGCAGGCUCAAAAGCUGUGAUGAGUUGUGAUGAGAAGCUCCGUUUCUUUGGGACAGUCCAGCCGGUGAUCUGUGGUGAAUAUUUGCUGUGGAGAACAUAGAGAAAGGCUGUUUUGGCAGUUUCUCUGUGAUUGUUUUAGGCACCUCCUGGCAGGCAUAAAAAUAUUAAACGGGGGGUUUGAAGAUUCAUCCAUCUGAAACGGUAACUGACUUGAGGGCUGAUUAUUUGAGUGAAUUAGUCAGUGGUGCCCUAAAUCAGUAAAAUAUGUUGAGAAUGAGCAAAUAGCCUGUUUCACUGAGGUUUUGUCUCAGUAGUUUGAUAGUUAGCUGAUAAGGAACUAAUGACAAAAUAUCCAACUGACACAUUUAUUCACAUGCUCUGCUUAAUAAAUCAAGUAAUGUAUACUUGAUAAGAAGUCUUUCAAAAAGUCUGUCUGUCAGUAUUCAUUGCAGAAAAGCAGCUAAUCACAAUGCCAAGGGCAGUGAGACAAACCUCAAUUGGUAAGAAACCAGGGCAGAACCUGUGCCAGAAGCACUUUCUACACCAAUAACCUGUCAAAAUCUCUGGUUACAUUGGCUUCUGUUGUCUGUUACAUUUCUGGAGCCUAUAUAGUUGGCAGUAAUGACUCUGUAUCAUGCUGAUUAAUUUAGUCAGGGUUAGUAUAAACUUUGUACAGUAAAUAGCAUCUCCUUGAAUGCAUGCAAUAAAUGUUUAUGAAAAUAAUAGAAAAGUUUAACAAGAACUGUCAAAUGGAGAGCCGGUAACAACCAAUGCUUGAGUGUCAUAGACAGUUUUCAGUGACAGUCGCAGCAAAAUCACGAGAAGAAAAACAGAUGAUUGGAUGUGUUUUUUAUUCUUACUCAAAAACAACAUCUGACCAUUGAUAUAACAUGAUGACAAAAUGACCUAUAAAGCUGUUUUUUCCCCUCAUCAGUGACAGUUCAGAUAAGACGUAUUUGUCACUGUCCAUCAGAUUAAACAAUUAUAACUGAUGUCUAUUCUGCCUCUUAACAAGUUAUUCAUAACUGGAUGAGAGACUAUAAGUGAGGAUUUAGAUCUGAUCAUGUUGUAAAGGAGAGAUGCACUAAUAUUCUUGUUGGCUAGAGGUAUCAGUCUUGAUUUCAGUCUGUUUCAUUACUGACUAAAACUCCUGACAGGUACUUUAAGGAAGAAAUAAUUCUGUAUUUGGUAACUACCCAUAUUCUACUAGUCUAUGCAUGAGCAUCAGGGUCAAACAUAUGCUUGUUUAAAGUGACAGCGAGCAGAAAUGGGUAACCUGAUUAUUCCUCAUUAGCAUGGUAAUUUAAGUUUGAGUCCUACAAGAAGCUGCCCCUGUUUUAAACUUCAGCUCUGAACCAAAGAAACUUGAACUUGACUUUUAAACACAUCUGAAGUUACUAGACUUCUAGGCACAAACAAAUAAGCUACUUAAACUCUUGCAGUAAAAAUGUGGAAGAUACGUUCAGUAUCAACAUUCUGUCAGACGUCCAGAAGAAAAACUUAAUCCAGGCAGUGUUAUACUUUGCCCUAAAUGCUUCUUGCUAAUGCAAAUCAGCUGCAUAUGAAGGUAAUUCGUGGGAGAUAAAGGCUGGCCUGCAGCUUGUUCACACAUGCCAGCCUCUUCUUGGCUGUCCUCAUCUCUCUCUGCUCUACUCUCUCUCCCAUAUGUUUGGGUGUUUUGGUGUUUCUGUGAUUGCAGCCGGCUACUGGCAGCCAAAACAUGAAGUUGUCAUCGCACUUACCACUCUCGUUAAAAACUAAUGGAAAGAAAUGAACUGUGCUCUCUCAAGUGGGUGACGGUGACAGUUGGUAUGUUGACGGGCUGUGGGAUUGGUUGAGGAGUGGGAGCACGCUGAUGGGUGGGUGGUAGUGGGGUUUGGGUUUAAUUAUUGGGAGCUGCAGUCCAGCUUACCUGCGUGUUGGCUGCGCAGAUUUGGGCCACCCUAGCUCGCUAAGUGAGUAUUUGCACGCAAACUGGUGUUAUCUGAUCCACCUCAGUGUCAAGCGCUUCCAUGAGUUUAAAAAUUGAAGAGGGAGGAGGUUCUCUCGCGACUCUCUGCUGGCAGUUUGAUUCAGAUUUUAUUAUCCGUGCUUGGUUCUAUAAUAAGCAGAAACUGUCCUGUCCGAUUAGGCACGCUCAGCGGCGCCCUCCACCCCCCCGACUUGUUCUUCCCCUCAAGACCCCCCCUUCCCCCCCAUUCCAACGCCAUAGUCUCUCUCUCCCUUGCUCUCUAUCAGUCUGUCUGCUUGGGAAGACAGCAGGAGGAGAGCUGCUCCAUAUACUUAACCCAUUACUUGCUGUAUUUGCGAUUGCUUUUAUCUCAUCAAACUGUAGGGCCUGCCCAGUCUUUUCUGCACCGGGCAAAGUUAUGAGCUGCAAUUUGAAAGUUUUGCUGUCUUCAGAUUAUUUUUACAUCAAAUAAUAUUGAGUAGGUGUCUAGACGGAUCUUUUUUUCUCAUCGACUGCACCUCUGUCUACUUUAACUAGUUAGGGAUGACCCCCGAUUGUGGACUUGGACUUGUUUCCUUUUGUAGAGCUGUAGCUUGUCAAACAAUCCAAAUAUUAAACAUGGUUGCAAUCCAUGAAAUCAAAAGAAAAAAAGAAAGAAAAAAAUUCAAAAGAAAAAAAAAAGAAAACUAUAUUCUGUGCUUAAUCACAAAUUCUGAGUAAGAGUAGAAAACAAUCAUCAAGAACUGGCCCCCUUUGCUUGGUCCCAUGUGUUUGUCAGCCAGCAGGUGUCUUGGUAAGUCUGGCUGUUGUUCUAUCGUCUCUAGAUCUGCAGGAAUAUCAUUAACCAAUCAAUCUGUAGCUAAAAGACCUCUGUAACAGAGCCUGUGUGCUGUGUCUUUAAAUGAACUGUGUAAUGACAUUAAACAAAAAUAUGUCAGGCUUUAUGAGCUCCUGCUGUUAUGCACAAAAAUUGCGAGGGGUUAUUGAAAAUAUGAUUAUUUUAGCACUUUCCUCACUCAGCACUGUGUCGGAGUGAAGGCAACGAGAAACAAAUCAUUUAGUUGUUUUUCAUUCAAGUGUGCUCUAUAAACAUGAAGUCCUGUUAUAUGCAAAGUGGUGAUUUAGAACUUUUUGUUGUUUUAGAGUACAGCUGAAUCAUCCAUGUGUUAUUUCAAAGUCCGGUUGGGAGCUGAAAAGCUGAGCCAUGAUCCAACCCCUGAGUACAGACUGUCCAAACACAGUCUGUAUUUUUGUAUUUGCUUGUGUACUAAACCAGAGGAAAGCUAUGUUUAUGGCAGGUCAGUUCAUGGAAGACAAUCCCUUCCUGAUGCAAGAAAAGAGUGAUUACCAAACUAUAACAAUGGAGAAGCACACAAAUCCAAAGACAGGCUUGUAAGCUGCAGACAGCCUUUGAAAAUCAGAGCUGACAAAACCCAGCUGGGAACAUUUCAAGGUGCUUUUUUUCUUCUAAAUAUACCCAUAGGGCUCUAUUUUUGUGUCUGCCGGGGACGCGGCGGAGGGUAGCGGACCCCGCGCAGUGGUAUUUUCGUCUGGCGGAGCCCGGCCUACAGCCAGUUUGGUAUUUUCGUAGACUGAGGCGCACCGAGGUCCGCUAAGUUGGGCGUGGUGGUGUGGCAGGGGGAAGUGUCAACAGAAUCAGCUGGCGCAGUGACAUUUUUGUGCUCACUGGUGGCAUAUAAAGUGCGCUGAAAGCUCGCCGAUUCAAACCUGGUCAGCUCUCAGCGCAGGCGGAGCGCAGCUGGUCUAGUGGUAUUUUGGUAGACCUGCGGCGUAUCGGCAUACGUCACUGAUGCCUCACCGGUAGGUUUCCACAGUGUCAGGAACAUUUCAGUGCAAUAAAUAAACAACAACUAUUAAUCUGAGUCAGCACAUACAUUUAGAUCUAUGUAUAUAUUUUGAUCUAUAUCUUAUCUGAUGAGCGCGUUUGGCACGUGUUUGGACACACAACCUGACCGAAUCAACACAGCUGAAACCGCAUUAAAUUAAAUUAAAUAUCUAGUAAAUAAACACACAUGAUGAAGUUAACAAGAUAUUUAAUUCGUCUCCCUCCUUUUCUUUCUUUCUCUUUCUCUUAUUUCUCGCGCAGCUCGACCUGGACAUGUCUCCGUGUCCUCUCCCCGUCCUGCUGCAGCUGCUGCUGAGUUAUUUACUUUAAGCCUACAUACGAAUAUUAUAAUAUUCAGUUUUGUGAGCCAAAUUUAUUUUAUAUGCCAACAUCUAUGAAAGAAAGAGCCAGGCCACGGAGCGCUAUGCAUCAUUUACUCACAGAUGGAUCUGAUUUUAAUGCCAUUAUUGGAAUUUAUGUUGUGAUCUCUGCGCUCAACCCACCUUUGUCAUGUGAGGUUUGAAUAUAUGCAACUUUAUGUGAGUGUCUUUAUUUGUGGAAAGGGGUGUUUGUCUUACCACUGGGUCCAACAUUACACACACUAAAUCCCUCUGUGCUUAUUUGAGACAGUGUGGAGGACGCCCAAUGCAGCGCUUACAGCGACUUGCUGAGGAGCUGCCUUCUGUCGCCAUCUUGUGGUAUUACUGUCUUCAGACAUCUCUUGAUCUCUUUGACUACUUCACGAAAAUUGUAAUACGCCUCAACGGUGGCGGAUUUAAAGGCGUGGAGAAGAGCUGAUGUUAUUGGUCAAUACAGGUCUCGGCUGUGUUAAACCCACUCCACACCCUCUCUCCUCCCUCGCUACAACUUGCGCCGCUGGGAGGAGUUGAGUUAGGGCGGGGGGAUACUUAUGACGGGCUGCGCCACUCACCAAAAAUAUCAAAUUGUGCUUGGGAACGCCUUGUCGACGCGGCGGACCUGACUUACGCUGCGCCUGUGCCACUUCUCCGGCGAAGCACGAAAAUAGAGGCCAUUAUGUUUAAGGUCACUUUCUUUGAGACAUUGCUCGAAUUCAGUCUUACAGUCAUUUUUUUGAUCAUAUGCAUGAUCACAAAAUAAAAAUAAAAAUAAAUCACACUCCUGGAGAUGUUUGAGAUGUGUCCAUCUGUGUUUGACACUAGGAAGCUGAAGAAUAUGUGCCGUGUAUAAGUAGCCUGAUGAAAUAACUAUAAGCUUGUGCCUUCUGCACCAUGAGGCUGAACAGCCUUAGGCUUCAGGCAGACUGCUGCUGCUGAUGAUGAUGUGGGGGAAACACACCAGGAUGUAUACAUGCAUGUAUCUGUGGACUACACAACAGCCCCAAGCCCUCACAGCUGAACUCAACCGAACAGUGGGCAAAAAUGUGCUUAAAAAAUGAGACAACAUAUAAAGGAAUUGACCUUCUACGCAGUUUGUUUAUGUAAUUUUUUUCUGGCACCAUAAAAUUGACCCAGGACUCAUUUUCAGUAAAUAGGACAAGCACUGCAUAUGCUGUCUGCACAUUUUGUCGUUUUUCGGGGAGGGUGGGUUAUGCAAGCCCCCAUUCACUGCUAAUUCCAUCAAAGCAUUGGGAGCAGUUCUAAUUGGGCGUCUCUAUUUUUGGUUGUCUUCCAGCCCUGUUUUGCUGCCUUUGAGUAAAGGCAGCGCAGCGAAUGUAAAGCUGUGUGAUAACAGGGCCAUUCGCCACAGUACUGAGUUUGACCCUGCAACCAGCCUCCAUGACGGAUGUGAGAUGAUUCCUAGCCCUCCAGCUCAGCACGACACACUCAGCACAACUCAAAUACACUCCCCAAAUCUCUCCCUGUCUCUCUCUUUUUGCAACGUUCCCCGUCUUAUUCUUCAUCUCUCUCUUGCUCGCUCUUUCCCCUUGUCUGUCAUUCUACAGAUUCACUCUGUGCUGUACGCUGUCUAUUUAAAGCCUGUGCCGUAACCACCCACUGCAUCUUUAAGAAGUGGUGACUCACCUAAACAGAUCAGCUUUGUCGACUCUAUGUGUGAGUGUGUGUGUGUAUGUUUGGAUGCGCUUGUUAUAUCAUCUCAGCUUUAGUUCUUCUUUGCCAGGGUCUUCUCUGUUUGGUGACAAGUGCAGCUGUUUUCAGACGAUAGCACUUGUCUGUGCGUCAAACUGGAAUCUGCAGGAUCCUCAGAUUAAUGCAAACACAGACACUCACACACACUUGGACACAAUCUGUGCACUUCAUGUCACUGAGUUAUAUGCUAUUCUGGGUGCAUUCAGGGGAUUUGCAGCUUAAUGUGGAAGCAAAUGAGCAAAUUUGCAUUUCCUCUACUUUGCUCAGUAAUGAGACAUAUGUAAGUGACUAUAUAAGAGCAAAAUGAAGUGCAGAUGAAGGUUGUGUGCUCGAGAAGACCAGGUAACAAACAGAAGACUACAUAUGGCGUGUUCUGUAUCUGUGGCAGGAGCUCCCAGGCAGCCAGCCUGAGCAGUUUUCACUGCCAUGGUUUUGAGUUUCCCCCUCAGUUCUUUGCAUUAUUUAAUAAUCUCUGAAUAAUUCACAGACUUUCGUAUCAAACAAAUAUUUUUUGCAACUUGCACCUACGCAAAGGUGAGGAGGGGCUGGAUCAUGAUGUAUGUAGUCCAAAUGAGGGGUGGUGGUGUGAUUAAGUGUUUAUGUUUGUUAAGAAUCUUCAUACGUGUGAAUUUGAACAUCUUUAGCUCUGCUGAAUGUGCCCUUGCUGUGAGCUUUUUUUCCCCCUUUAUAUACGGUUAAAUUCAUAGUAUCAGUGUCGGAUGUUGUACAUCUCUAAUUUUGACUUCAGGAAGCUCUAUUCCAUCACAUACAUGCAGUUUACAUGCCUAUAAACCAUUGUUUAUCACCCUGCUGUCUGUUUAGUCACCACUCUGACUCUUUGCAGCAGUUCUGUGAACUGUUAGUUUUUUAGCUGGUUGUGUUUCAUUAAAGAAGUGAGGCAUACAGAAAAAGUAAGACUUGGAAAGAUCAGCUGAUCUGAUGCUGCAUCUGCACCCCUUGUGGAAAAAGAAGUUCAGCUACAUGGUGUGCAUUGUUACAGUAUGUUAGCCCUGUGAGGUGGAGACUUUCAGACCCUGACAGCAAUGACGCUGUGCUGUCAAGGCAGGCACAAACUGGCUCAUGCACUGACUGGUUAGUCAUGCUUUGAUGCACAGUUUAAAGAGGACUCCAGGAAGAAGGCUGAAUGCGCAUGUGCAAAAUGUCUCUUUCUCUCUCUCAAACACACACACAUACACGUAUACGACAAAUACACACUUUUUUUGUACGGAAGAACACACUGCUGCUGAGUGCUUAAAAGGAAAGCAGCAGCAGCAGCAUUUGGUAGUCUGACAUGAAACCCUGAUCCUGUUUUUUUUUUCUUUCUCUGAGCUGACUUUAAAGCCAUUUUCUUAUGCAGUUACAGGAAUCAUAAACACUAUGAAAUUACACAGAUCAAAUAGUACCUGAUGACCAGAGUCCCCUUUUUAAAUAAAAAACUGCAGGCACCAAUUUGAAGAUAUAAAGCUUUUCCUUUCAUUUUGUUUUAUUGGAGUACACUGUUUUAUUCAUCACUUAGCUUUUAAGAUGAAUUUUCUACAAAAAAAAAAAUAGUGACUAAAACUGCAAAUAUGAAACCUUUGAGAUUAAAAAAAAUACAAAAUAAAAUAAAAAAUAAUCAUUCAACAUUUCAUUUAGGAACAAAGGGGAAAAACGAAAAACACACUUUUGAGAGUGUCUCCUAGUGUGUGUGUGUGUGUGUGUGUGUGCGUGCGUAUGUGUGUGUGUGUGUGGCCCUUCAAUGAGGUCAGUUCAUUUUCCUCUUUUCAAAACACUCAUACAGAAUGUGAAAUUAGUUCAUAAAGUUAUAGAUUUCUGCUUUUGGUAACUAAGGGUUAUAAAACAGUAAAUAGAGAAAAACUUCUUUUUUUAAAUUAAUUAUAUUUGUCAGAAAAUUAGAUAAAAAGAGAUGGAUUUGAAAUAAAGAUUAAUUUUAGGGUUAAUUUCAGAUGUCUCAUAUCCACUGUGGGAACUUAUAAAUACAAAUGGUUUUGUAGUUCAUUUGUAAAUUAUACUGUAAUCUUUUGAUUAAAAUAAGAUAAUGAAUUUUUUACCCUAUACUGAGUUAAUUUAGAUCACUUUAACCACCCGCUAUAGUCCUCUAUUUACUCAACAUAACUUUUUUUGUAUCUCAAAAACCUAAAAGUUAUAACAACCACAGAUUUAUGCCAACAAACUGAUGCACUUAUUUUACAUAUUUGGAAUUCAUCAUUAUUAAAACUUGAAAAAUGAGUAGAACAAAACAAAACAAAACAAAAAAGAAAUACAGAAAGAUAUCACUUUUUUUCUGCUUCAAACAUUUUUCUGUUGCUUUUAUCCAAAGUAUGUAAAUUGUUCAUCUGAAAUUAGAGAUUAUUUGACGGCAUGUUUUUUAUUUUAAUUUGACAGUUUUUUUGUCAUAAAUAUGAAUGAUACAUUAUUUGACUGGAGUGUCAUUUAUUCUGUCAGAAACCGAAAACAGGAACUGUAUAUUGGGACUGAAAUAUGACAAAAUAACUGAGCAGGGACUGUAAAAAGGACUUCAUCAUCACACCCUUUUUUCAAAUGCAGACUGCUCUGGCUGAAGGCCAAAUAUUUGGCAGCAGAGCUCUGCACGUUCCAUUUAUUAGAAAGGUGCCGGCUCAUUAUUUAGCAGGACAGAGUGCCGGAAACACUCAACAGCUGCAGCUACUCCGACUUUACAUGCAAUAAAGUUUGCUGCCUCAUGUGGGGGAUCUCUCCCUCUUUUUGAAGCAGCCUUUUUUGGUCCAUAAUUUAUACAUUUACCUUACUUGCUUCUGCGUGCGUUGGCCUCCUGCAUUUUUUAAAGGCCGGGUAUUGAGGGAUUUUCUGUCAUGCUCUCUUGCUUUGUUCUGAUCACGCAAGCUGCUGCCAUCCCACAUACAGGAACACUGGCAAACACGAAGUCAUGCCACCUAUGCGGAACACAAACACACAUGUGCAUUGACAUGGAGGCACAGUGUCAUACCAUUUUACAGUCAGCACACACACACACACACACACACACACACACACACACACACACACACAGUUUGAGGGCCCACUUUCCUCAUCUGAGUCUGCACAAACCGUCUCGUGCCAUGGCGUGAGUGUUUUUACACAAACACACACCAAUCUGAGCCAUCCAUGUGUGUCCAAGCAAGUGAAGGGGUGUUGAAUCUUCCUCUCACACCCAUGCAUGCGGAAGGAGUCUACCUCCUGUGCUCCCCAUGGAGGACACAUGGCAGACAAAAAUAGAGGAAAAAGGAGAGCCUGAAAUGAACAGAUUAGAAAAGCAAUAGUUACUGGAUAAAGUUUUACUAUUUUCAAAUCGCUGAUCACACAUACAAACAAAAACAAACACAGAUUUAUUAUCACUUCAGUAUCUAAAGGAGAUCAAAUUCACCUUAACCGCACACAUUUGAUUUUUCAAAAUUUUCGUCCUGUACAAUGAUUUAUUCAUUUCAUCAUCAUGUAAAGUUUAAUAUUUUUGUCAUGUGUGGGUAUAAUUUUCGAUAUUCUUGUUUACAAUAAAACUUUUUAACAUGUGAUAGGUAGCGAUUUACUUUCAUUUUACCCAUCUCUGCUUGACUUAGCAUCCAGCAGAGGCAUUAAAUGUGUGUAACUCAGUAUCCAUGAUGUUGAUCAGUCCAAUGAAAGGUGGCUUUAUAAUAAUAACAAUUCUAAUAUAAAUUUGGUGUGUGUUACUAGGUGUCAUGAAAUCUCAUCAAACUCUUGAGGAAAAAAAAGAGAAAAAAUGGAAUUAUAAUCAUAGUAUUUUUGAGGCAGUUCAUAUUUAUUUCUCAUUAAAGAAAACUAAAUGUGAAAAUAAAAAAAGAACUUUUUACUUAAAUAUAUGUAUGUGAAUGAAGACACACCAGGAAGAUCAUUUGUUUAAGAGUUUUACAGAGGCUCCAUAACUGUAAUUCUUCUCAUGUUUUGGAAUUUUUUAAAUGUAUUCCAAUACACUGAUAUCCAAGUACCCCACUUCGUUUAGAAAGCAUAUUUAAAAAAACAAUAUAAGUAAACAAAUAAAUAAAAAUCAAUUUAUCAGGAUGAGGAUAUAAAACUACAUAUAUAUAUAUAUAUAUAUACACAUACAUUCAUAUAUAUAUAUAUAUAUAUAUAUAUAUAUAUAUAUAUAUAUAUAUAUAUAUGUAUAUAUGAAUGUACAACAACACUGAAAAUAAUUUUGAAAAAAAGACUUGAACACGUAAGCACAUUAAGCUUGAAAAGCCAUAAAAACACAAAAAAUAAUUCUGAUAAUAAUAAAGCAACAAGAAUAAAAAUAAAAACAGCCUGAAAUCACACACACCACCCAGCAUACAUGUGGGGUAAGGAUUAAAAAUAUGUUUUUAAGGCCAUGUUUGAAGACUUACUAGGACAGGGACUUGUUAAUGUUGUACCACAAUUCAGGGGCCUCUACAGAGAAGGCAUGGUCCCCCCCGGUUCUAAGCCUUGUCUUAGGAACCACACGACACAGCUGUUAAGAAAGACCCUCAGUGAGUUUAGACUAACAGGGGGUCAGAGAUGUACUUUGGUAAUAAUCCAUUUGAAUCUAUAAAAACAAACACUGAAAUACCAAGGGGGAUUUUGAACACAUUAGCAGUCAUUUAAUAUACACAUAUACACUUGUUUAAUAUACACAUAUACAGUUAUUUAAUAAACACAGUCAUUUAAUAUACACACACAUAUAUAUAUAUACAGUCAUUUAAUAAACACAUAUACAGUCAUUUACAGUUUAAUUAAAUAUAAAAUAUCAGUCAAUAAAAAGUGCAGAUUGUGGCUGUUACAACUUUAAAGGUAAUUUAAAAAACAGACUGUAGUUUAAACAUUUUCUGAUGUAAAUGUGCAAAUUUUACUAAAUUUGUCUUUCAUAAUCUAUAGAAUAUGAAAAAUACACAAGUUACUGUAAUAUAAUUAAUUUAAGUUAAUUUAAGUACUGCAUACUCACAAUAAAUAAGUUAAUCAACUCUAGCUUAUCUCAGUUUACAAAAAUUACUUUUUUAAGGCAACGACUGCAUAUUUUUUUUCAUUACUCAGCUUAUUAUAUUCUACAGUGUAUAUACAUUUCUUUCUUUAUUUUUUUUUUAGAUUUAUCUGACCUUAUAUUAUACAUCUGACCCUACAUUAAACAUCCUACCAUAUAUUAUACAUCCGACCCUAUAUUCAUUAAAAAAUGUAGUUGAUAGAUUACAUUACUUAGCCAAAGAAAACUCUACUUGAUUGUUUACUAUUAUUAUUAUUAUCAUUAUUAUUAUUAUUAUUAUCAUUGUUUAACCCAAAUUUCCUAAAUAUUAAGUAUUUUAAAUUAUUUAAUAUCGGUUCUUUCUUUUUUUCCCCCUACCAUCUUCAGAUUUAGUGCAGGCUUCAGAUCACAGAUCUGAUCCAAGAGGAAAUAAUUAAAUCAAAGGCAUGACUGAGAUUCAUCAUUUUAAUUUCUGAAGUUAUCCAUUAAAAGAUAAACAUGUCUUUUUUUUCUUACUCUCUAAAGUCCCUGACGAACAGUGAUGCCCCCUCCUCAUCUCCGGUCUUUCUCUCUCUCCCUCCUCCAUGUGCUGUCAUCUAGAUUCCCUCCCUAACAUGUAAAUUUAGGUCAGGCCACAGUCUCCUCUCCGGGCUUCACAGGAAAAUGUGGAAAUGGAUUGUUUCACACCACUUAAUCUUAUUGAGAGAGAGGGAUGGAAAAGCGAAAACAACAGGGACUAAUGUGGAGGACAAGGGGGGAGGAAGAGGACUGAGGAGGGGCAUCAUUACAAAAGAGAGAUGGGGGGUGGAGAGGAGAGAGAGAGAAAAACUAGUCGAAGGUAAAGGAAGGACAGGAUGGGGAAAAAAGAGGGGCGCAAAAGGAACCAGAGGACAUGAGGAGUAAGGGGAGGAGAGGACAGAGGGAUAGGCAGGAGACAACAACAGGAGGAGGAAGGAGGAGCAGAGAGGAAAAUAAAAAAUAAAGGACAGAGAGGAGGAGGAAGAGAGGAGACGAGGGGAGAAAAGAGAAGAAAGUAGUAUGCCACUCGCGUCUCAUCUCUGUUCUCUCUGCCAGCGUCACAGCUCCCAGUGCUGGCAGCUCGCAAACUAACAGACAGGCCAUAUGGCUUCAUUAUGAGACACACACACACACACACACACACACACACACACACACACACACACACACACACACACACACACACACACACACACACACACACACACACACACACAAUAACAACAAGAACACCCUCAGUGAACUAAUAUCCACACACACUUUGAACAUGCAUUUGCACACACACUCACAGGAAAAGUCCUCGUGCACAGGUGCAAACACUUGCAGCAGGGAGAAGAGGAGGUGUGUGACGAAUUGAAUGAAAGCAGUGAAGAGGAGGAUGUAAUGGCACGUUGAGUUUUUCUACCUCCAGGGGCUCCAAGGGAGAGCAGAGCUGGCCCAAUUACUGAGGCUUACAUGGACACACACAUACUCACAAACACACACAUAUGCAUUUUAAACACUCAGUCACGCAAACCUAUUAUCAGCAAUCUGAGAAAUCUAGGGAGACGCAAUCUUCAUUACCAGAUACAUGGAAAGCAAAUAUUUGGAGAACAGAAGUUCAAAUCACAGCCUUAACUUCUCCUGCUGUUUCAAAUACAAACACACACGCACACAUACGCACGCACACACACACACACACACACACACAUCAAGUGGGCACCAGGGAGGAGCAGCUUUACCUACAGGCGUGGAGGUGUGAUGGGAUGAAGGUAUUGGCUGGGUGGGCUGGACUGCUGUGUAAACCACUUGACACACACUAUAGUAAUUAGUGUCAUGGUCCGGGGGAUGGAUGAUCCUGGUCAUGGAUCCCCAGGAGCAGGGGGAUAGUUCUCAAUUGGGCCCCUCCCUGGGGGCUCCAGGGGUGUCCUCUUAGUGUUCUCCUGUUGACUGCUUGUGUUAAACAAGAAACAACUAUAGUCCAGUUUGUAGGCUGAAGGAGAAACAUUAACAGCCAUGAAGGUGUAACCUUUGAAGGUGGAGUUAUGACUGUUUUCAAAAAGUAGUGAAAUGCAAAUGUUUCUGCAACACCAAUAAUUACACACACACACACACACACACACACACACACACACACACACACACACACACACACACACACACACGAUAUGUUCAGGUUCACUGCCACUUAAUAAAUGCUUAAGAAAUUAGCCUAAAAAAAAACAUGCAAAUGUGAAUGUUCGUCUGUGAGCUGAAAGUCAUUAAAGCAUCAUAUACUUUACUGCACCUACUCUAUCAAAGUCAUCAGCACUGCUUGAUAUUUUAUACUAGCACCCAGCAAAGCAAAAUCUAACUAUAACCUAACUAACUGCCCAUAUAUUAGCAAACUAUGAUAAUAUGCACAAUGAAUCACUGUAAGCACACACAGCAACAGCAGAAAUGCAAUUUUAGCCACUGAACCAUUGUUGUGAUUCAUUGAUCAGGAAAAUGUUGCUCUUCUUAUGCUGUAACUGCGUUAUUUGUUUGUUUACAAGUAAAGCUGUCUCAAUAUAAUUUUUCACCUCACAAUUACUGUGGCUGUAAAAUAUCAUGAUCAUGAUAUUAUCAUUAUAUUUCUGGAGACUUUAAGAAUAAAACACUACAAUCAGUCAAAUCAAUACUUAUCACUAUCCAUUUCUAAUGAUUUUCAAGUUUGUGAUUUAACAUCUCCAGUCCUGGGACUGAAACUUCUUUGGAGAACACAUAACCCGUACAACUUUUGUUUGCAAUACUUUUAUUUUGAUAAUUUGUUUAGGUUGCUGUAUUUCCUGUAUAGUGAACUAGGCUUUUAUUUUUAAGAAUAAGCUAAUUCCAGUAAAUUUCAGAUUUGAUUGACAACAAUUUAAGAACAGGUUAAAAAGUAAUAAUGUUCAAUCAAAAGGAAGUCUGAGGAGACACUGGCUCUAAUGUGUUUGUUUUUUAUUACAGUACAUGAUUUAAUUUCAGUAUCUAAAGGUUUCUGAUCAUCGCUACAAUUAUAACAGUGAGAAAGUCUGGUUACCUUGGUGUUUGUCUGAGUUUAUAAACGUGCUUUGUAUUUAGCAUUCAGAACCAGUUUGGCUCCAGAUAACAUGGAGUUUAUUGUGAAACCUUCUUUCAUGUAAAGGGUCACUAUGCUGCCCCCAAAAUGCAUCUCUGGAGACCUUUGGGUGUCUCCAGACUGACAGUCACUGCUAUAGAUUCUACAUAAACAUGCUGACUCCAUGUGCACUGAAAGCAUACUGCACAAACAGCACUAUGCAGAGUUUGGCUGACUUAAUAAAAAAAAAAAAAAAGAUUGCUCUGAUGAGUUCCGCAAACAAGCCCUAAAUUUAAUACAUUUUUAAUUUUGAAAAUUCUUAUCGAUGAGGAAAUUUCAUCAGGACCCUGUAUAAUGCAUCUUUAACUAUUUUUUUUAGGGACAGCUGCUGGGGGAUUUUCACUGGCUCUGAGUUUUUAUAGCUCCCUCUAGAGUCUGGGGAGAUGUGCAUUUUUCACUUGGGUGUUUAUCGUUGAAAAUGAAUUACCCCUCACAGCCCAAUUCCCUCUCAUCUGACUCUUUUUUCUUUAGGGGGCGGAGGGUCUUUUAGCUUUUGUUAGAUAGGACAGUGUGGGGAGAGAAUGGGGGAUAAAAUACACCUAAUCCUUUCCCAAUCAGAAGUCAAUCUUCCAUUCAGUGUCAUGAGAACCUAAGCUUCUGUACAUGGGGUUACAGCUCUGCCAAGUACACUAAACCAGUACUUCUCUUCAUCUGACUUCAACAUUUCAUGGAAAGAUCAUUACAACUAAUGCAUUUGCUUCCCACUCUGCCCCUUGUCUUGUCUGUGCGGACACACAGUGUUAAUGAUCUGUAUACUUCAUGGUGUUUUUAAUAAGUAUUGGAUUGGUCUAAGGUGAUUAACCACUGCUGUCUGUUAUUGCUCUUUUCUAAUCAGUUUAUUUUAAAAUUAGCAGGAGGACAUAAUGUUUUUAAUAGAUUUAACAGAGUCCUGCAGAGUAGCAGGCAGACAUUUCUAUCAGAUGAUGUGGUGAGUAUGGAUUUUUCUCUGGUUUCCCAUUACAGUACACACCCCUGUAUUGAGUUCAACCGAGCAUGUCAUCCUGGGAAUCGUUGGCUAUGCUGAAUUGAAACCCCCUUUUUUAAUUCAUAAGACAUUGUUUGGUACCAAGUCAUGUGUUAUUCUAAUAUAAUGGCUUAUUUUAAUAGCUUAAAAACACAUCAGCAAGACAGUUUGAUGGUGCUGCUUUUAAUUUACUCGGUGUUCCUGCCUGUGAGUGUAGUGGCCUGUGAUACAAUGAGGUUGCAUUAAGCUCAGUGACAUUUAAAAAAUAAAUUAUAGAAAGACACAAACAUGCACACACUACAUCCAAGAUGGUCUUUUAGGUCAGGCUUAUAUUUCCAAGGGUGGAAGUUAACUGAGAAUGAGCACUCAGUUAGACAAAGUGUGUUGUAAUCGAUGUGUAUGCACACAUUAUUUUGUACUCGUGUGAUUCCCAAACUUUACAUUCCUGUCUUCACAGUAGGGCCACACAUUUUUUGGCUUUAAAACUGUUUUUACCCAAAAGCGUGCAAACUGAACCUUCUGUUUAAUUGCUCUGUGUGUUGACAGUGGCAAAUGCAUUGGCGACCCCCUGUUCCUAUUGUUCAGGUUAAUUCGUCUGGGCCAAGUUAUAGGAACAGAUGAAUUAAAACUGAUGAAAAGAGAAUGGAGCCCUGCAGUCUCGAUCACCACUGGACGGGUGCUCUCAUGGUUCGGGGCGGGAGGCGGUGCUUGUUGCCAGGAUACUGGCCGGAUCCAGUCUGGAGGUCCCGCUGUUUUAUUGGACAACACGCUUGACCCUCUGGCAACCCCGAAUUGGCCCCUGACCUGAGAAGUCACUCCUAAUCAAUGCAGCCAUGCACACGCUGACUCAGGAAAAGACUGGUGCUGCCGACCUGCUGGUACAGACACAGAACACCGGGCGGCACCAUGGAUCAGUAUCAUGCAAAGUGACAUCUGUAACCGUUUAAAAUCACAUUUGGCAUAAUUAUGCUUUGAUACGUUGUCAUCAACAUGACAUGUGGCAUCUGAAAAAUGUGUUUUAAGUUCUGUACUCUGCUGAGGAGCUGGAACCAGCAAAACCAGAGGAAAUGUACAGAAGUUUUGGGGUACAGUAUGCGGCCCAUAUUUUCUACAUCUUGCAAAUAUGCAGCCCUCAUUUCUUUACAGUAACAGGUCGGCCUUUUAGUUAACUGUAGUAAUUGAUUUAAAUUGCUAAUUUUGGCGAUAAAACAAGACAAAAUCCUUCAAAGUAAUGGACAGGACGAGGGCUAAACCUUUUAUUUCUAUUGUUUUGUUGUUCUCUAAGGUUAAGGCUGUCUCUGUGGUUAAGAUUCCAACCACAUGACAGCAAUAUCUUGGAUUUUCUUUCAUUAAGGGAUCUCUGUUGCAUGUCAUACUCCUUUUACAUGUCUUUAUUUCACCAACAUUAAUGCCCAAUGCCCUAAAAGAGUAAUAAAAAAAGGCCAAAUUACUAACACACUAAAAAAAAAAUAAAUGCCACAAAGCCAAGCAAACCCAAAGAAUCAAAAUAAUUACUUUCCCCUUAAACACAAAGUUAAUGUUGAGCUGACAGGAUGAUGAUGUCAGUGAUGCAGGAUUGACAACUGCAUACUCAUAAUUCAGCAUACACCUCAUAUAUUGCCGUCAAUGCUCCCUCGCCAUCUAGUCACAGGAAAUAAAUGACUGACAAUUAUAGUUUUGUAACACAUAAUUAAUGAAAUAUCUUAAGUGUUUUCCUUGGAUAUGCACUUCUUGAUGCCUUUAAAGACCACAUAUAGCGCAAAUGUCUGCUGGGCGUGGCACACUCCACAUAAAACCCUCUCUCCAUCUGGCCCGUCACCUGUCUGUCAGCAAAUACAAACCAUGAGCUGAUGCCGUGGAUUUCUUCAUUCUGUGGCCUGACAUGAAGAGAAAUAAGACGACACGCCUUGUGAUCUCUCAGAUUGCUUCAGAGGAGCCAGCUGUCUCAGACAGUUCAGGCUGGUGAGGCUGACGGCAGGCUGAGCUCUCAAACCAGAAACCAAGAUUCUUAAAACUACAUGGAUAAGUAUUGAGAGAAAAAUAAUUAUUAAAACCUGUGGUCAAAUAAAUCCAUUUUAACUUCGUAGAUCUUGUAUCUGCUCCUAAAUCUUGUUUUUUUCUGAUAAUAUUAACUUUGCACAACAGUAUAAAAAAUACCUUUCCCUGACUUAUUUUAAUUCAAUAACUCCAGAAAUCUUUCAAAUUAUUUGUCAUGACUAAACUCAGGUAAAAACAACAUUUUUGGCAGCUACUUGAAAUUAUGUGUGGUUAAAGCACUGUUCUAAGUACCUGUGCAGUCAGCUGAUGGUUUCUGCUCUGCUCAGUCCAGACUGGGCCUGGCUGCUCUUUGUGCUGAUGAAAGUUUGACAAAUUGCUCCAAAAGUGUAGUUCAUUUUUGCAAAGUCCUUAUUUAGAACAUCUUUGGUAGGCAGUCCACAUCUUUGUACAGUUAAUGCGAGGGUUUCAGAGUCAUUACGGUCUUAAUUUGAUCCAUAUGUUUGCACACCAACCAGUCUAAUUUCAGUCUAAAUUUGACUUUUUCUGCUGACAGUUUAGAAGUUUUCAUUUCACAUUUACUCAUCACCAGAUAAGGCUGGUUUCAACACAUUUGCACACGAUUCUUCAGAGGAUGUGAUUCACAUACAGUGCAGACAUCUAGAGUCAUUUUCUGGUGCGGUGGAAAACCUUUUUUGUUGUGGCUCGUCACUAAUUAUGGGAUCUUUCCUGAGCCGGACAGGGUACUUUAGCACACAAAGAAGUUUCCAGCUAUUGUGGCUGAAAAUGCAGCACGCAGAAUAACUGGAGAGGAGCUGGCAGAGAUCCCCUGGCAGCAAUCAAAUCUGUUUGGAUGAACACAACAUGAGCCCAGUAUGGACAACACCAAAUGCUGCUCCGUAUUAAUGGCAUAUGUGGUAGUAGCGGCAAAGACUUUUCAAGUGGCCUGGUCAACAUCCAGUUUUUUUUUCUGUGACCAUGUGACAUUACUUCUGCAAACACCAAGAGAGUGGUAAGAAGUGAACAAACCAAAAAAUGGUGCCAUAAAAAGGGAAGGUAUAGAAUAAAUGAGACAUUGAAAAGCAGCUAGCUCCUUUCAUUUUCUUUGCACUUUAAAAGUCAUAAAGAAAAUACACAAAACUAAGCCCAAAUCCUUUCAUCACAGUUUUCGUCUCCUCUAAUGUGAACACAUUAUAAAUAUACAGUGAUUGAUAAAUGGUACGAAGUUAGCUGAGACAGCCUUUCUUCGCAGUGAAAAGAAAAUCCCACUAAUCUUUGGGAGAUCAGGACUAGUUUUUGUGGCCCACUUAUUCUUCCGUUUCCUGUAAGUAGAUUUGAAACCCAAGCGUGGAUAUAUAUUCUGUUUGGGCAGACCUGUUAUUGUAGGCUGAUUUUUCCCCCAGCUAUAAUUUAUCGGCAUAAAUCAGCAGGCCUAUUGGAAUGAUUAGAAGGUUUGUCUUGGCCACUGAGGCUACAGAACCCACCCACCUUGCCAGCUAACCAAUCUAUUCACCUGACCACAACACCUCUGCUUACAUAAAUCUGUAGCAAUGCUCCGCUUCUGCAUGCCGGCUUUUGUGUGUGUGUGUGUGUGUGUGUGUGUGUGAUUUCUUUGUUGGAUUAUUUAUAUUUGCAUGUGUGUUUUUUGUGUUAUGUGUGUGGAGAGUUAGUCUAUGACCCAGUCCGUAUUAAAACAUUUCCUUUUAGAGACGGAUAGGAGGGUUCCUGAUCUGGGGCGUGCCACCAACAUCCAUCACAGCGGCGGUCUGGUUUCCUGGUGAUUUAGGACUUACCGAAGCGGUCCAACUCGCUGCUGCACUCUGACCACAGCCCUUCCAUCAGCCUCCCACCCCUGCGUCCUAAUAUCACUGCACAAACAACCAGGAGCGCAACCCAUUUUUCUGCACCUCCCCAUGAGUGUGAGGAACAAAUCUGGCAGUGUAAAGUAGGAAUAAAGAAAUGUGUUGCACCAGUCUGAUCAAGAUACAAUUAUGCUAUAUUUUUAGUUAAUAUUUAUUUUUUCAGGUUGUGGAGAUUUUUUUCCCUUUUUGCAGGAUAUUUCCUCCUCAGGUUUAUGCUAAAAUAACAUUUUUCAUACGACUUUUUAACAUUGUUUUUUUUAUUUUUUUUAUUUUUAAAUAAGAUCAUUGUUGCGUUCAUUUAUAUAUUAUCCAUAUCAUGUAUUUGUGUCUGCCUUUUCAUUCACCUAAUAUUUUUUGUAUGCAGUCCAAACACACUUUUCUUUUAAAACCAGAAAACACCACACAGCUUAAAAUCUGAUUGACAAAUGUGCUGCAAAUAGUCUGAAUUAUAAAAUUAAUGACACCAUAAAACCUGUAUUAGCACUGAGAGACCAUCAGCAAAAGUCUGAGUAUGAGUUUAGCUGUUAUGUAAGAAUGUUAUUUAAUUUCUGUAUGAGUUUUCUCAGUUGAAGUUUGAGAGCAUAAUGUUUCACUUUCUCUCCUGAAGGGUUUCAAUUGAGUUUGUUUCAAGUAAUAUCAGUAUAUUAAGAGUAUAGUCAAGCCCUCUCCGGCUCUGGGCUUGAAUUUUUUUUUUUUUUUGGAGUGCCGGCUGUCCAUUUACACAAAGCGGAUUUUGCAUCAGCCAGCUUAGAAGUGAGGACUGCUUUGAAGUGCUCUAAUCCUUCCUCUACCUUCAGACAACCUUUCCUGAUCCUCUGCAGAGUCACAGUGCCAGCCAACUGCACCAGCCGGAUGGUCCAAACCACUUACCAUCACAGACACAUACUUUCAUGGAAGUAUGCCUUUACUUCUGCAAAAUAACACAUUUGCCCGCAAUAUUAUAAAUGCAUACAAUAACCCAUAACCCCUCAGUCAUGCAGUACAGUGUAUUAGCAGAGUGUACAGAAAAAGAGUUUCUCUCUGUACAGAAGUCAGAAAUCAGAGUUUUCUUUCUUUUUCUGAGAUAGUUGCAUACCUAUAAAAGUUCUGACAAACAAAGCUUUGUCUGCAUGAACGUUUUCUUUAUUUUUUCCUUUUCAGUAAGCUCCUUUAAAAAAACUCACUUUCAGGACCUGUCUUGUGACACCCUAUGCCAGGGCCGGUCCUGUGGGGUGGCCCAUAUCCCUCCUUAAAAUCUAACUGGCCACUCAAAUAAAACACCCAGAUCUGUGACUAUGAUUGGCUGACUGCUUUGGCAUAGUUUGGGUUUAAAAUCAGUUGUUUGGGAUGUGUUGUGUUAGGUUGCUUGUUGUCUUCUUUGCAUUUCGAUGCUGCACACUACCACCAGUCAAUUCCUGAGUAAACAGUCUGUUCCCACCCCUAACCACUGAGUCUGAGUGAACAUUGAACUCUCUGUGCUCUGUGGCACAUCACUAAAGGCCUAAAGGUCUAGUGUCCCAACAGAUUAAAUGUAUAAACUUUACAAGUACAAGCUCUACCUUUCUCAGUCCGAUAGUCAUAAAUUGUUGAUUUUUAUUCCUUUUGAGUUCAGUUUUGCAAAAGCAGCCUGUCCUGGCAGCAGUGUAGGGGCGGGAUAAAAAAAAAAAGGAGGAAUAUGCUGAUUUUCUUUUAUCUAUAAAUGCGAACAAACACACAAAGUACCACAAAUGUGUACACAUCCAUGUUUUUUUGUCAACCAACAGAAGCAGAAAUCUUACAUCAGAUGCAGCUGAAGGCCUCAAAUGCAGUCUGAGUGAAAGUCCUUCGCUCCAUGAAAGAAGCAGAGCUGUCAGAGUGGGUGGCAUAACCAAGUUGACAGCCUGCUGUGGGCUGCUGCUCUUUAUUCGCCGCACAGAGAUGAGCAGUUUUCAAUUUCCUCCCUGCCGCAUGCCUAAACCAACACACUGGUGAGACAACCUUUGACAACAAAGGUCCAACUUUUGUGAGUGAGAAAGAUGAUGAGCAAUUUGAUGAGCUGAGGGUUAUCCAAUGAAGAUGACUGUUGUUGGUGGGUGGUCUGUGUCUCUGUGUACUCCUCUUAACCAAUCCGCUACCAGAUGGGGUCAGUAAAGUCUCACCAGCAGCACCCCUAUUGGCCGGGGUGGUUCAUAGGGCAAAUGUGCUGAGAGCGGAGCAGCAACUAUAUAAACUAAUAAAACCCGUCCUGUGCUGUGUGUGUUUGUGUGUGUGUGCGUGUGCGUGCGUGUGUGCGUGUGUUCUGGUCGAUAUAUUUCAAUCCAGCUGUUCAGUAAUAUUGUAGACUCAUGAAUAACCAUGAAUAACCUACAUUCCUGUCUCUGUUGUGUGUGUGUGUGUGUGUGUGUGUGUGUGUGUGUGUGUGUGUGUGUGUGUGUGUGUCCUCAUUGCCUACCCGAUGCUGGAAGCAGACGGUGUAUGUUGGCUGCCUCUCUCUCACUUCUCUGUGCGCCAGUUCUCCUUCUGAAAGGAAUCUCAGGCUUUCAAGGCUCUUUUUGUGAACUGCUCAUCAAAGUCUCCACAAACGCUCUACUGCUGUUUUUGAAGUCAGGAUCCCUUUUUCACUUUGGAUGAAAUCUUCUUGUCAUGGUUCUGUUUCUCCAUCUCCUCAUUUUUAAAAAUCAAAUGUGGAGCACUUCAAUGCAAAUCACAGUUUUUAAAAAGACAAAAAUGCAAGAGAUUGAUUGAUCCCAAAGUCUUUGGGUUGUCUUUAUGUCAUGUUUAAACCUUCAUGCUGAAAGGAAAUUGGAGUAACCUUCAUGGUGACCCUGUGAGGAUGUGAAAAACUUUUAUGUUUAUUUUUUUCUGUAUUGUACUCAGGUUUAAAGGUGGGAUAGGCAGGAUCGGAAGAAGUGCCAGUUUUUGGGAGAAAUCUUGAAUGUAAACACUACCCCACCGGACCACUUUUCCCCUCAGCUCCUCCUCUCCCCUCCCUCUCUGCUCCAGCAAGCCCCGCCCAUAAACAGACAUGCCUGCUCACUUUUUGCCAAUCAUUUCAAUUAAAUUCAGAUAUAAUGCAGAUAAAUACUUGAGCUAAUUACCAAUGGGGCCCAGUCAAUUUGAAAGUAAAAAGCAUUGGUGCGACUGUAGAUGCCAACAGACUACCAGCAAACACAAUGUUUGCAGGACUUCUACAACUAGGAUAAAAUGACAUAGUCCCGGACCCGGGCUAAACAGUUUAGUGGCACUACAACACACAGCAGGUCCCGUUUGACAAGAAACACUUCUGUUACAGACACUUGCUUUACUUUGUUAAAGCAGUUUACCUUUCCUGCAGAAAGGUUACAGGGUCCGUAAGAUCCCAAAGCCUUCCCUAUCGUUUAUGCUGAUGUUGACCUGGCUUCUUAGCUCUUAUCUGGUCUACCUAUUUUUUAAGUGCCCAUUAUUCUGCCAGAGUCUCCAGUAUUUACUUCAUUUGGCUCUAUUUUCGUGCCUCGCCGGAGACAUGCCGCAGGCGUGGGACAAGUCAGGUCCGCCGCGCCGACAAGGCGUUCCCAAGCACAAUUUGGUAUUUUGGUGAGAGGCACAGCCCGGCGUAAGUAUCCCCCCUCCCUAUCUCAGCUCUUUCCAGCAGCGUAAGUCGUAGCGAGGGAGGAGAGAGGAUUUAACACAGCCGAGACCUGUAUUGACCAAUAACAUCAGCUCCUCUCCUCGCCUUUAAAUCCACCACCGGCGAGGCGUAUUACAAUUUUCAUGAAGUAGUCAAAGAGAUCAAGAGAUGUCUGAAGACAGUAAUGCCACACGAUGGCGACAGAAGGCAGCUUCUCAACAAGUGUCGCUGCAGAGGGCGUUCUCAUAUGAGCACAGAUGGAUUUGGUGUGUGUAAUGUUGGACCCACUAGUAAGACAAACACCCUUUUCCACAAAUAAAGACACUCAUAUAAAGUUGCACAUAUUUAAACCUCACGUGACAAAGGUGGGUUGUGCGCACAGAUCACAUCAUAAAUUCCAAUAAUGGCAUUAAAAUUGGAACCAUCUGUGCGUAAUGACGCAUCACGCUCCGUGGUCUAGCUCUUUACCGUAUUCGGCUUAAAGUAAAUAACUCAUCUGAUCACUGAAACAAAUCAUCUGUUCAGCCGCUGCAGCAGGAUGGGGAGAGGACACGGAGAGAUGUCCAGGGGCCUCAUGUAUCAACGCUUGCGGCGCAAGAAAACCUUGCGUACGCCAAAAUCGGUGCACACGUCCAGAUUUAUCAUCGCGAAACGAGCGUUGGUUCCAGCGUUUAUCAACGCAAAGUCAGGAGGUGGUGUAGAAAUUGGCGUUGAGCCGAUACUUACGUUGACUGUGAUUCGCACUUUGGCGACGCUGUGUGACGGUGUUUGGUGACUCACUAUGUGACAAGCGUGCACCACAUCCCCGUGACCGAGCAGCACGUCGCCCCACAUGACGAACCAGCAGCAGACGGAGGGAUGCGAGCUGAUCCCUGCCGGGCCGCCGUCCUCGCGCGGGAGAAUCUCAUCGCCACAGUGUGAAUGGGUAAGAAGUGAAUACACAGUUCAAUGAGCCAAAUUAUUUUAUUUUCUCCACCAGACGCUCGAGGACAUUUACGAGCCGGUCCAGCCGCUCGUUGAUCCCCGCGAUCCCCCUGAUGAUUUCUUCCUGCGAUUGCAGGACCCCCUCCGCGAGGACCCUUCCACUGCGUCCGGGUGGUCCAGCGGAAGCGCCAAGAUCAGAAUAUAUCUAUAUAGAUCUAAAUGUAUGUGCUGACUCAGAUUAUUAGUUGUUGAUGAUUAUUUAUUGCACUGAAAUGUGCCUGACACUGUGGAAACCUGCCGGUGAGUCAUCAGUGACGUAUGCUGAUACGCCGCUGGUCUACCAAAAUACCACUAAACCAGCUGCAUUUCGCCUGUGCUGAAAGCUGACCAGGUUUGAAUUGGUGAGCUUUCAGCGCACUUUAUACGCCAGUGGCGAGCACGAAAAUGUCACUGUGCCCGCCGAUUCUGUCGACACCUCCCCCUGCCACGCCACCACGCCCAGCUUGGCGGAUCUCGGUGCGCCUCAGUCCACGAAAAUACCAAACUGGCUGUACGCCGGGCUCCGCCAGACGAAAAUACAACUGUGCGGGGUCCGCCACCCUCCGCCGCCUCACCAGCGUACACGAAAAUAGAGCCCAUUGUCUUGCUUGUGUUGGUAAUCAUGGCCAAAGGAGGAUUCAAACAAUUUUCCGUACUUUCUGGUUGGUUUCUGCUGUCUGAUAAUGUAGCAUGCUAACUUUGUUUGGGCUCGUGAAGGGGAGCCCCUUCAGGAGCUGCAGACACUGCAGGGGAGCAGCGUCUGCCUCACAACCAAUCAGGUCGGGGAGGCAGACAAUGGCUUUGUUUACAGUCAGAAAGAGCGGGCCACUCAAAGAAUUUAAACUGUUGACUACACAGACAUAACAAAACACAGCAAUAUCGUGAUAUUACCAAAUGUCAUCAGUAACAAAUAUUGACUGAUAUUCAAAGCUUUUUUUGUAUAUACACCACAGAACAAAAGAUGCUUCUUUAACGGAAUCCUGCCUACCCCCCCUUAUCUCAAAAUCUCACUAUCUGCCUCUUUUUCAGGAUUAGCUUUCAUAAAACAUUCAAACAAAGACAUUAGUGUCAUCUGAAAAGAAAUGGGAUAGCCAGGAAAAGUGACUGUUUUUAAUUUUCAGUUUGUGACAUAUUUGUAUCACAAAUCCUCACCAGAACAGCACAUUGGUAUCUUUCUCCUAACUAUUGUUUUCAUAAAAAAGUUUGAAUUCCCUCAUCAUUGUAGAUUGAAAUCAGUGCCAGUACAGGCCUCCCUCAGAUCACAAUCCCAGUUCUCCCCUCCAGCAGAAGAAAAGUCAAAACGGUUGAGUUUUCCCUUCCUUGCUGGGCUCUCUGAUGAUUUGGCCAGACAGCCAGUUGAAAAUUGGAGAGUAAACAUUUUGGGGCAGUAAAAAGGAAAACAUUGGCAGAACAAUUAGGAGCGAUGGAACUAGUUUAUCCCCACGAACACUCAGGCAGUAAGACGACACUUCCCCUCCUGUCGAAACACUGAAGACCGCUUUGUCAUUCCUCUAAUUGGAUGUGAGUACAUUAUAACUGGGAGGGAAUGAUCCCACUCUUUGGCAGGAGUGAGUCUGGGUUCUUGUUCUAUGGCAAAUUACCUCUUAUUGAAUUAAUUUCCUUUGAAUUAAAGUUGGCGGCAAGAUGGUGUAUCUUCAAGUAGUAUCACAGCAAUGUUUGGACACAGAGGUGACAGUGGGUUGGGUAAUUUCCUGCUUGCAAACAAAGAAGACAAAAACAUAUGAGGCUGAUGCUUGUAUUCACGAAACAACACCCCAAGGAAGUCAUGAUUUGGAGGCUUGCACUUAAGGGCAGGCCUUCUAUGUCUGCACAUUGAGGAGUAUAUACAACAAUGUAAAGUGGUACAAUGACAUCAAGGCUGAAUAAAAACAACAUUUCUUUGAGGAACUUUCUCAUCUUUCUUUACUUUAAAUGUCUAAUCUGCAACCCAAGCUCAACAUUUCAGUUUCAACAACAUGCUGUUAAUCCUAGGCCUCUUCUGGGGCAGAGGUGACAGACAUACUGUAUAACAUAACUGUAUAGAAAUAAUCAAUCUCAUCCAUGAUGGUCUUUUCUCUUUUGUAGGUCAUAAAGGGGCAUCAGUAUUGAUUUCAGUCUGUUUCACUACUAACUGAAAACUCUUCACAGAAGCUUUAAAAGGCCAAAUACAUGCCUAAAUAAAGGCCUUAGGACAGUGUCUGCCAAGUCUUACAAAGUUAUGAAAACCAUCUUAAUUAUACACUUAAUUAUUUCCUUUUGUCAAAAAAAUUUACGGCAGUGUUUAAACAAGCUGGAGACCACUGAGUGUCUCAAUACAGCAGAAGCUGUAUUUGCUCCACUUUAAGAUCAGGAUUUAUCAUAGUGACAACAAAACUCAUGUAAUCCAUCAGAUGAUCAUUAAGUAAAUAAAAGCAGCACUUUACAUGAUUUAUGUUUUGUUUUUUUUAAAUCAAAAUUAAAGUUAAGACCAUAGACUGUAUAUAGAAUGGACGCCAUCUGCCUCCUUGCUGGGUGAGGCCACCGCGAGAACAGCACCCUCUAGUGACAGGCUGCAGUAUAGGACAUACAUCCUGCCUCCUUCAGCAAUUCUUAUGGAGCUGCGGACAAACUUUAGAAAUUAAUUACACAGAAUAUAAAAUUUUCUCCCUCUUGCUUGCGAUGUUGACAUGUAGUUACUGUAAGACUGGUUUGUGCUCAAGUCCUCUUUUUUUCUGUACAGCCCCAUUUUUAAAAGUUAUUAAGGGGUUCGUGUUUUCUAUGAUUGACACUUAAUACAGCCUAUGGGCGUACGACGAUUGCGUAGCUCACCGGGAGAAUAUGCUGUUUGAGCUGAGCGCCAUCACAGCAACCCUUGGCAACUCUCCUGACGAAUACGUACAACGCUACUGCACAAGUAGUGGUUUCAGAAAAAAAUCCCAGAAAUACCGAGAGCAACUCGGCUUCAAAUUUGUAUAAUGAGGGAAGGCGGAGCCAAGUUGUCCAUAGUACAUACAGUCUAUGGUUAGGAUGCACACCCUGUCCCCUAUUCUCCCAAAUCUCUUAGUGCACACAGGUCACAGUUUAAAGUGUUGUGAGGAGCUUUUAUUUGUCAAGAAAACAGACUGAGACUGAUUCUGAUUUGUCUUUCUGACCUUUAAAAGCACAUGAGACCAUCAGUAAAGUGUCAUUAUCGAUGCUGUAAGGAGGUAGGUUCAGACCCAGCUCUAUUUUUUCUUUUUUAGUGGCAAAGACUUUUCAAAGACAACAGAAGGAGGUGUUUGUCUGAAAAUAUUACUUUCACACAUACAGGGCCAGAAAUAAAGAGGUAGGCCUAUUACUUUGUCCACAGGGGGCACCAGACCAGAAGUUCCCCUCAGCAGCUUUAAAAGAGAUAAAUGUACGAUGCUUUGACAGGGGUUUAGUUUGAAUUGGUCAUAAUAGACUGACCCUGGUUGUGCUUUGACCUCUUACCUUUUUAUUGUCCAUCAACAAUGCUAUAAUUUAGCAGAAAAUAAACCUGGGACAGAUAUCUGUCAUGGUAAAUAAAUGAUGAAGCCAGGAUUUAUUUUGCCUACCAAUUCUCUUAAUGAGCUUUCUGAAGUUUAUCCUCACUGUGGACCUCCUGUCCAAACCUCCUUCAAAUACUAGCUCUGCCACAAACACAGCCAUUGUCAAGCACAAAAGAGUGGCGCAGAUAGGAGUAAUGUUAGCAGUUCAUUUGUGUGCUUCAACAAAGGAAGAUGCAUGGCCCUACAGAGUCAUGAGAAACCCUAUACAUCGAUGUGUGAGGGCUGUUUUUGAAGCUCAAGUCAAAGAUGCUGAAAUCAGUAGAAAAUAUAAUAACCAGCCAACUCAAUCAGCGCAUUCUCCUCGAUCCCCACUCAGUACACAGAGCUGCUGAGUGUCCUGAUGUUGGAGGGAGACACCGUCAGUUACUAUUGCAGUGAAACUGUCAUCAUAAAACCUUCAAUUCUUCCCCAGCAAAUAAAAGAAAGCAUUCUGUGUCGGAUGCAUCUGUCAGAGGCAAUUUUCUCAUCCACUAUAAUAGAUGAGGAGAGGAUGAUAAGGAGGAAAGGAAAGUAUCAGGUGAGCAAUUAAACCAAGGCGCCCUCUUGUCAUCCUUUUCUCAUCUCCUUCAGUUCUUUCUCCUCCUCCUCCUCCUCCUCCUCCUCCUCUGUAAAUGCUCGGGAAGCCUUGGCAUACUCAAAUCAUCUUUGAGUAGUCAGUAUGCAGUAGGUACUGCUUGAGUAGGUAAGUAGAUAGUAGGCAGUAUGCCAUUUCGGACACAGCCUAAGUGCAAAGCAAUCAGCAUCACCUGCACGAGUGCACCUUGAAUACCGACAUGAUGACAUGAGAGUGAACUGUGCCACAUCCUCUCACUGCUCAUAAUUGCUCUCCACUUGCCUUUAAUUAAAAGACAUAAUCCCAUUCCCGGCUUCCCCAAACACUGUUUUUAUCUACCGGAAACUUUACUGUGUUGAACUCCUGAUCACCCUGAUAAACCGCCAGGCUAAUUAAACAGAGGCUCGUACAAUGUGUUCCUGCAUGUGUAUAUGCAUAUUUAUGUGUAUGUGUGUGUGUGUGUGUGUGUGUGUGUGUGUGUGUGUGUGUAAUCCAUGGAGUGUGUCUCUUUAUCUCUGAUCCAGUUCCUCUCGCUCUCCCUUGCUGUCUCUCUCUCCUUGUCUGUCGGGCUCAGGGAAAUGAUGCUGAAUGCUGAAUGCUGAAAAUAUGGCACACGCUGAAAGCAGCAUUUAAAUCUUGACAGUGGCUGGGAUUAGCUAGGUAACGAGGAGGACAGCUUGGGAAAAACAAGCCGAAGAGGUGAACUCGAGGACAGUGAGGCAGAGAGGGAAGAUUCUGGAUCUUGGCGCUGUGCUUGGAAAAAUGGGACAAAAUUCAGCACUAAGUUUCAUAAUUAUCCUCGAAACUAUCUCCCCCCUUUUUUUUUCAAAGUUUCCUUUUGAAGUUUCCCCACUUUUAAUGAUUGUCAAGCUCUUUCCAACAUCCUCUCAGCCCAAACUGUAGCUCUGAUGGCCUGAAGUUUGAAAGUCCUCUUAUGGCCUCUGUGUGUGUGCCAUCAUUAUCUGGUUUUCCGAAUAGGACACCGAAGUGACUCACAAAAACACUUGAAGGGAAGUCUUGCUGCCUUUAAUGUUCUACUUUCCAUCCCCUGUUUUAAUCAGUGCAUAUGUGCUGCGCUUAAAGCAAACUUGAGCCUGGUUACAUCUUCACUCCCCCACUGAUAUCGCCUUCGGACUGCAGCCUACCAAAUCCUAAUCCUCUCUCCUCUGAGUCCCCUGCAAACCUUGACUGAUGAACAUGACCCUGAGGGCUCUCACUCUGCUCCUGACCGACAAUGAGGUGGGGAGAAAAUGUGAGCGAAGAAAGUGAGUGGAGGAAAAAAAUGUCCUAAUUACAGAGCUCCCCAAGAAGGACACAUGGUCUGACAUGAAGAUGUGCACACAUGGGCAAGCAUGCACAUACAGUACAAAGAGUCAGCUCCAUGAUGGACUUGUGGUUCUUAGGCAGGGCAAAAAAGGAAAUAGGAGGUUACACCAUAUGCCUAGCUGCCUGCCUGGGUGUGCAUUGCAUAUGCAUAGCUUCAUGUUUUAUGGAUAAGCUGUUAUGCAAUCUCUAUGUCAGGGCCUUACAGUGUGUCUUCAUCUCUAUGCAGACAGCAUUGGCAUUCUCUCCAUUUCAUAUUGCAGGCUUUGCACUGACAUUAACAGAUAUAUAUUCCAUCAUGUCGCUCACAGCUCAGAUGUAAGCUUAAGUAGAAAGAGAAGACGGCAAUCCAGCCUGAACUCUACUGACACAAACUUAACCAACAGAAUAGCUUACCCUUGUUGCUUUCUGAGAUCAGUUCAUAAAGUCACAACACUGGACUACAUUCAUGAAGAGGUGACGCGAAAUCAAACCUGAAAUGGAAAAUAUAUCAUUGAAGCUUUUCAAAAAGGACAGUAUGAUUGUUUGGGCUUUGAUUUACACAGGCAGGAAAUCAUGAAGUACUUUCUAAUCCAACUUUUAAGAAACUUCUCACUUUUACUACGGUGCUCAUUUAUACUUGAAUGUCUGCAGAAGUCUGUAUGCUUCUCUGUGGAAGUGAGGCCAACUAUUGACAUUGCAAAUGUCUGCAAUCAAGAACUCACAAUCAUUCACAUCUUAGUUUAAAGUUUUGUUACAGAGCUGGGUCAAUAUCACCCUUUAACUCUUCUGCUGGAAAAAAAAAAUGUUGAUUUGUUUGGAACUUUGGCUUUGACAUCAACAUUGCAUGAUGAUGAAUUACCCUUGAUGGUCAAUUUUUCAGGACAAAGAAAAGAUGAAGAUGUGCAACAAAUACAUCACUAAUGACAUGGACUCUGAAAAAGCAAAUCAGCCCCAAAUUUUAAAAUAGUCAUACAGACCACAUACGCAGAGGACUGAAGCUCUGAGGUAGAACUGGUCUCUCAGGAUCCAGAUGACUAAACCCAGGACUGGGCGAUGUAGCAAAAAAAAAUAAAAAAUAUCACGAUAUAUUUUGUCAUAUCGUCCCAUCUCGAUCAUUAUCACAUUCUUUUUCUCUCUGUAUUGUUUGUGUGCUCUCAAGGUACCAGUGACGCAGUUAUAAUAUAUUAUUAAUUCAGGUUCCAGGUAAUGCCUCAGUCACACUUAAAGGUGGUGGGUCAGUGGAGUUUAUAUCAGAGAGAUAUGGAAAGAGCUUACCUGUAAGCAGUUCUGACACAGUGCUGCCUUUAGAUCCAGUGUUUGUAGAUGUUAGAUGUGGUUUGUGCUGGACCCACUGAUCCCUCCACUUUGAAAAUCUUGAUCUCUCUCUGAAGCCCUGAGGUUGCUUUAGCUGACUGUUGUGGAGGUCUGGGUUUUGAUGCCAAGAAUUCUGGUGUAGGACUUUUUCAAUAUAUAUAUUUCCACAUAUAUACAAUAUAAAAGUAAUAACAAUUAUUAUUAUUUUACAUUUGAUCAGUAUCGUGAAUAAAAUCUCCUCAGUUUUCAAAAAGACUGCAUUAAGUCAAACUUUUAAACAGGGGUCAUAAUACUGGUGGACACUGACAUGCGGAUCCAGUUUAAGUGGACACUUUUGUCCCCGUUUAUCUGUCCAGCCUCACUCCUCAGUGAUGUGUCCACGCUUUGGCGCUGUCACUCCACUGUCAUGUCAGAGAGGAGCCCACAGAGAGAGCACAGACAAGCCCUCUGAACUGGACCACUCAGUGGUUCAAACCCUGACACAUCAUGCUUACACACACACACACACACACACACACACACACACACACACACACACACACACACACACACACACACACACAACAGACUGACUGAGAUGGCAGUUAGAAUACUGACCAAAGGAUGACCACGAGCACACAUCACAAGGUGACCUCUUUUUUUUUUCAGCUGUAGCAUACAUCUGUCUUUUUCCACAGAAGUUACUCUGAAUUUUCUCGAUUUGAAUCUGCAAACAGAACUCUUGGUGGUUACAGGAAAAAAAAAGCGUAAUAAGUGAGUGUAUAACCGCUAACUGGCUGUUGAGCUCAUUUAAGUUUUUUGAAAAGCUUUUCACUGGUUUUGAAGUAGUUUCGUUCUUACACUGAUGCCUGUUCAGACCUUUUAUAGUAAAAUAAGUAACUUCAAUUCAUGAUUAAAUACUGAUUUCAACAGUCUGAUGAAUAUUAUAAACUACAUUUCUAUCAAGCUCUGCUAAAUUGUUUAUACUUAAUUGGUUACUGCUAAAUUGCUAUGCUGCAGUGUGAAUGCUUCAUCUCUCCUUGAGGACAGAGCAUUUAAAGCAGGUGUUUACUGAGGUUUUUCAGAUAUUUGUUGGUACAGUGAAGCAGAAGUUCUGACAUCUGGACUGUGGUGUCCCUAAACCAGUACACUAGUCACCUUUUGGAAACUAACUCUCAGUAACAAACCAAGUCAAAGUUCAUCAAGUUUUAUUGAUAUUAUGAUGCAACAAUUUCAAAUAGCAACAAAUCAAUGCGCCACAUUGCCACUCUGCAUCCUGUAAAGUUAUCUUCAUCAAAAAAAAAAAAAAAAAAAAAGUCAAACCAAAAAUUCAAUCUGUAUGCUUGUACAGCAGAUGUACACUGCGUUCCAAAUUAUUUUGCAAAUGAUGUUUUUCUCCGAUUUUCUUGAUAGUCAACACCAAUGACAGUCAUUAUCUGUUGGAGUAUAAUUUAAAUAUUGAUGAACAAACCCCCCAAUGAUAACAGUAUUUUUUUUUAAUAAAAAACUUAAAAUUUACUGUUCCAAAUUAUUAUGCACAACGGAGUUUAAAAACAUUUCAGGGGUUGUAACUGAAAAUGGCCAUUUGUUAUUAUAAGGAGGUCAUAUUUACUGAAAUCAAAAGCUAUUUCAAUUAAGAACAUCUUAAUAGGUCACAAAUCAAAAUCGUAACAUAGGACCCCUUAUUUGAUAGCAGCUUCAAAAUUCUUGCAUGCAUUGAACUUGUGAGUUUUGUCAUCAUAGUAUGAUGAUCAUGCUUAAGUUUUCCUGAAAUAUCUAAAGUUUUAAUACCGUGUCCAAGGCAUUCAACUAUUUCCUUCUUUUCAGCAGCAGAAAGGUCCUUUUUCUUUUCCAUAUUGCUUGAAAAUGUUGGUCUGCUUAAUAAUGUGGAAUAUCCUUCUUUAGUAGUUUUCUCCUUAACUGGGCUCACCUGGCAAACUAAUUAUCACAGGUGUCUGAGAUUGAUUUCAGUGAUCCAAAGAGCCCUGAGACACAAUAACAUCCAUGAGUUUAAUUGAAAAACAAAAAAUCUAACUUUUAUGACACUUGAAUACAAUUUGCAUAAUUAUUCAGAAUGCAGUGUAGGCCUUGGGAAGAGUCAGAUCUGUAUGACAGCAAGUGAUGGAGCUCAUUAGAAAUGCACUUAUCAUCCAAGAAAAACGGUAAAAACAUCAUUUAUGAGGACCACCCAAACCAGCCCAGCAGGAAAAUGUAUCACAGUACCUUUAAAUUUGUAUGGUGAUAAGAUGACAUUUAUCAAAAAAGUAGACUAAAUAACCAGCCUGUACAUUGUUUUCAUGUAGUCAAAUAAAGGGUGGGUCAAUUAUAAAGUUAUAAAGCACUGUUACGAGAUACAGAUUUCAUAGAUUUUUCCAGUUAUCAUUUUUAUUUGUACCCUCAGUUUCCAGGAAAAAUGCACAGAUUACCCUGCUUGCAUUCUUGCACAAUCCAUAUCCAUAGUCAGAGGUUAUCACCGAGUGAAAACAACAAUGGAGGUAGACCGGAGCAGAAAAUGUGAUAAUGAAAGAGCAGACGUGAGAAUUUGGAUGGUGUUACAUUAGAGGACAGGAUUGUUGUAGGGAUGUGUUGCUGUGUGGUAACAGCAGCAUAAUCGACUCAGGAACAUUGAGCGCUCCCCUGUUACCGUGUCCUCUUAUCCUUGUUGCUCAGCAGCAGCUUUUGUUAUUUCUACAAUAGUGCUGUUGUGUUGGCAUGUCAUCCUUUCACGGUGAUUGUUUCUCACCUUCAGCUUGGCAGCCAGGGAGGAUGCCACAGUGGAAACUGCGACCUUUUGUCACAUUUGUUUGUCAAAAAAUUACUCACUUCUCUUUCUUUUGAAUCUCAUCUUUUGCUGAAUUUUACAUGUAAGACACUCUGGGCAGUAAAUGUUUAGAGCAAUGGGAUUUCCUCAAGGACACACUAAGCAUCUUCAACACAGACCAUUAAUAAAAGUAAAAAAAAAAAAUAUAUAUAUAUAUAUAUAUAAAAAAAAAAAAAAACAAUCAUUAAAUCAAUGAUUUGUUCAGUUUAAAUCGUUGUCACCUCUGGGUUGCAGACUGGCCUGGAUCUUUAGGUUUCAAUUAACUUUUGAGUCCUACACAGAACUGAUCUCUCUGUCCUUUUUUCAAUUUCUCUUUCUUGCUGGACCCCUCUCACCCACAUCACCCAUGUGGUUCUGGUGAUAUUUCUGAGUCAGGGGACCAGGCUCGUUCUGUCGCACACACACACACACACACACACACACACACACACACACACACACACACACACACACACACACACACACACAUUAUGGAGCAGCAGCUGGAGUCUGAGGCAGUAUUAAUCCUAUUUCUGCUUGUUAAUGGGAUUAUGUCUUUUAAUUAAAGGCAAGUGGAGAGCAAUUAUGAGCAGUGAGAGGAUGUGGCACAGUUCACUCUCAUGUCAUCAUGUCGGUAUUCAAGGUGCACUCGUGCAGGUGAUGCUGAUUGCUUUGCACUUAGGCUGUGUCCGAAAUGGCAUACUGCCUACUAUCUACUUACCUACUCAAGCAGUACCUACUGCAUACUGACUACUCAAAGAUGAUUUGAGUAUGCCAAGGCUGCCCGAGCGUUUACAUACAGAUGCAUACUAAAUACCCCAGAAUGCAUUUCGUGCCGGCCGGACGCAGCGCCGGGAAAAUUUAAAUAGUCCUACCACACGCUACACAGAACGACUGCAUUCCGGACAAAUUAUAUAAAUUCAUUCAAUAAUAAUAUUUUUUCUAGCGAGAAAGUAAGUGUUUACAUCACGAUUAUGAGCCCAGUUGUUUGAAAUAGUGGCUGUUUGUAAAUUUGUCUCGGCGUUUUCGGAGACCGAAGCGUCCGCUUGGUGGGUGUUUGCGUCUAUUUACAGUAAGCACCGGGCAGCAGCAGCUCCCCCUUCACGUUUCCAAAUUAUGGCGAAGUGUUUUCAUAAUCAACAUCUACACGACACAAACCGGGCGGCAGUGGAUGAAAAAAAUCACACAAACAUCUGUGUAUCCAUGGUGAUAAUGCUAUACACCACCUGCUAGGCAUGUGAUGAGCAGCAGAGGGCUGCAAAAUGACCAACACACAACAUAAUUAUUAUGACCUUGUUCGGUUAUUUCUUGGCAAAUACAUCAUUUCCCGACUACAUUCUUUUCAUGUACAAUGAUUAUUUCAGAAACCAUCAGAUUUUCAACCACAAGUAAGAAUUAGUAAAGCUCACAUACAUUGUAAACUGGAAACUCCCCCGUUUGUAUAUUCUGAACCAUGUGCUCUCUACCAAAGAUAAUUUUUAUUAAUCAGAGGUCUGUGCUUAAUAUGAGUGACCACUUUGAUGAUGCAUUCAGAGAUGAGAAGAUGCUCAAACUUGAUGUAAUAAAUACAUCUUUAAUAGACACUUAAAUAAAUAAAGUCAAUUCAUACGAAUAGUUAAAAACAUUACCUAUAAUCCUAAUUUAAAAUACAAAUAAAUCUGGUAAAAAGAUCAAAAUAUGAUAAAAUGAUAAAAAUUGUGUAAUGUAUACUGACUAAAUAUUGUUUAUCUAUUUAUAUAUAGUAUAUAUAAUUAUUAUUGCAAUCACAUGCCAUCUAUUUCUUUUCAGCCUCGGGAAAGAGGGCCAUAUUACCAGCUGAGGUGCGCAAUGCAUUGUGGGGCAGAAGCAGUACCUGAAGCAAGCUCCGUUCCACACUCAGAAAUCGAAGCGGAUUGAGUAUACAUCCGGGCAUUUCUUGCAUACACAAAAUUCGCAUAAUGUACAGUGUGAAAACACUGCCUACUCAAUUCAGAGGCAGGGUUAGUAGGAGUAGUAGGAGUAGUAUGCCAUUUCGGACACAGCCUUAGACUAAGUACAGUUUCACUUCAUUUUGACCAGUAUUUACCCUUAUUUGUGCAUUUGUGUAUGAAGUGAUCGCAAAUUUAAGGAAAGCUGAAUCAAGUCAAUUGAAAACUCCAUCCAUAUCUGCUUCUCAGAUGUUUUUGUGGCGAGCUGGUGUGUUUUGAGGACCCAGAAGCAGACACAGAGGCAGAUAUCAACUUAAGAUAUAGUUUUAAUGUCCAAAACUCAGGUUUAAGGCAAAAUAGGAAGUCUGGUAGGCUAGCUGGCUGUCGUGUGGGCUGGAGACACUGCAAGGAAAACAGAGGAGAGGGAGGUGAGUAGACAUGCAAUGAAUCACACGGAGCAGAGUUACGAGUACUAAUUCAAAGAGGAGGCCAGGAGACGCGUCUGUACCACUUGGGAGUGAAGACAAUACUCAGGCGCUGAGACUGAGGGCUGCUGGCUUCUUGAAGUGCCUUGAUUGCAGAUGUAGAGCAGGUGUGUAGUCUCACUCAGCCUCAGCUACUGGGGGAGGGGAGGGAGCUCUGGAAAAGAGUCAAGCCAGAUCAGGCAAACAAAGAAACACAGGAAGUCCAGCCAAAAUAAAACACACUUUACCAUACUCUAAACCAAAUGACCAGGGGCCUCAUGUAUCAACGCUGGCGGCGCCAGAAAACCUUGCGUUCGCCCAGAUCGGCGCACAUGUCCAGAUUUAUCAUUGCGACACGAGCGUCGGUUCCAGCGCAAAUCCACGCAAAGUGAGGAGGUGGUGUAGAAGUUGGCGUUGAGCCGAUACUUGCGUUGACGGCACUUUGGCGACGCUGUGUGGCGGUGUUUGGUGACUCACUAUGUGACAAGCAUGCACCACAUCCCUGUGGCCGAGCAGCACGUCGCCCCACAUGACGAACCAGCAGCAGACGGAGGGAUGCGAGCUAAUCCCUGCCGGGCCGCCGUCCUCAUGCGGGAGAAUCUCAUCGCCACAGUGUGAAUGGGUAAGAAGUGAAUACAGGGUUCAAUGAGCCAAAUUAAUUUAUUUUCGCCACCAGACGUUUAUGAGCCGGUCCAGCCGCUCAUUGAUCCCCCCUGAUGAUUUCUUCCUGAUUGCAGGACCGCCUCCGUGAGGACCCUUCCACUGCGUCCGGGUGGUCCAGCGGAAGCGCAGCAGCUGGUGGACGCUCCACCGCUUGUCGGCGCGCUGGUGCUGGUGCUGGUGCUGGUGCUGGGGCCGGGGUGGCCCAAAUGCCGCUGGUCCUGGCCGACGACUCCGAGCAGGCGGACGGGCUGCUGCGGGCCGGGGUUCCGCAUGCCGGCGACACGGCCGACACAUUGAUUUCUGUGACACAAUAAAAAUAUUGGUUCAUUUCAAUUCCUGCUUCUGUGUAUCUGUUGCGUUUACAUCUAUGGCAAAGCAUGUGGACAUUUGUGUGACACGCCACUUACCCUCCGGCAGGCUGUCUGAGUCGCCGCGGGUAGCAGCGACAAUCCCCCCCACAGAGGCGCCACCCAUAAUCGCCACCACGCGCUGCUCAAAUGGCGUGAGGGUCUCCUCCCCCGGACCCCCACCUGUCUGGCCGGUACUCCUCCGGAGGGCAGCUGUACGCCGCUUGACCUCCACCUUGAGGUCCGACCACUUUUUUUUAAUCUCCGCGGGGUGCGUGUCUCGGAACCCACCGCGUUCACCCUCUCGCAAACUUUCUCCCACUCCAAGCGUUUUCGUUUUGCACUGACGCCACUGGACAGGCUGCCAAACAAAACACGCUGUCGCUCCUCCACCUCCGCCUAUGCCACCAGCACCUCCACCUCGCACGCCGUAAAUUUCGUUUUUCUUGUCAUUUUGUCUGCGUGCGAGGACAGGGAGACCCUAUUUAAAUAAAUCUGCAUAUUUAUAGGUGGGCGUAACGAGGGCGGGCCCAGUCACUCCGACAUCUGCGCUCAAUUCCACGCUGAUUGGGAUUUAUCAAGGAAACACACGUGGCUUUCGGCGCCCGCACACAUUGAUACAUACGGAUUUUUUUCAGCGUGACGGACCUUGCGUGCGCUCGUUUCUGGUAUGAGUCCCACGCAAGUGUUGAUACAUGAGGCCCCAGUUGCCUCAACACAUUUAUUAAAAUGAAGCCCCAUUUGCCACAACCAGAAACACAUUUCACCUGUAGACACUAUUCACAAAACCCACUCACUUCUUCUCAGAACUCUAAACACAUUUUUUUCUUGCUAAAACACAUCCUGCAAAACACAUCUGCUCAAACAUGCAUAGUUAAGCUCAUUUGAUGCAAAAUGCUACCCGCAGUCAGUAAAACUUGAACACAAUGAACAUACCUUGUGUCCUUGAUUAAACACAACGACUCAAAAUUGAAGACACCUGUUGAAAAUGAGGUAACCACACCUAUAUAAGUCAGUGCAGAGUGUGCUGAAUAUUCCAAACAAUGGAGGGACAAGACAGAGGGAUUCGCGUCAGAGGAAAAGGUGCAGGCUGAUGGGGGCAAGGAGCAGGCUGAGGGGGGCAAGGAGCAGGCCGAGGGGGGCAAAGAGCUGGCCGAGGGGGGCAAAAAGCAGGCUGAGGGGGGCACGGAGCUGGCCAAGGAGCAAGAGGAGCAGGCUGAGGAGGAAAAGGAGCAGGCCAAGGAGCAGGGGAGAAGGGCAAGUGAGACGUUGACGCACGAUCAUCACAGAUGAGAUGCGAGCGACCAUUAUCAACCAUGUCAUUGUCCAUGGAAUGACCAUGACUGAAGCUGGCCAACAAGUCCAGCCAAACAUAAGCCGAUAUACAGUGGCCACCAUCAUUCAGGCCUUCAGACAACACAACAGGUACUGAAUGUAGUAUUUCUUGGUCACUACAGUAGAUGUCUAUACAGAUACUGUACUGCAUACGUAGUGGAGUGCAAUACGAUUUACCACAGUUUGCCGUAAAGAGAUGUCCAUGUAUUGAAUACAUGCCUUUACAGUACUGUAUUUUACAGUAUAUGUGUAAUUCUGUAAACUGCAUGUUUCAUUACCUUUACUGUACAUUACUGUAAACUUGAGUGCAGUUGGGGGGCAAGCCUUCAUUUUCACCUAGAACAAUUGCAACCAUGGGUAAAAGUGUUACAGUACUGUGCACUGCAAGGACUAUCUCUAUACUGACCAAAUGUAUGUUUGUUUCUCUAGAGUUGACAGACUGCCCCGUGCAGGUUGGAGGGGUUCCAUAUUCACAGCAGCCCAAGAGGUCCUCACUGUUGACAUGGUUCGGGAGAACAACAUCAUCAGGCUUUGGGAAAUACGUGAGAAAAUCAUUGCUGACAAUGUGAACUUCCCGAACAUUGACUCAGUCAGCCUGACAACGAUAGACAGAGUCCUCCAGUGCCAGAGGGUGCGCAUGAAGGUGGCAUACAGAGUACCCUUUCAGCGAAACUCUGACAGAGUCAAACAACUCUGUCACGAGUAUGUGCAAGUAAGUAUCUAUGAUGUAGCCUACAGUUUACAGUACAGUACAGUGAGUGCAAAGAGAAAUGACCCAAACUAGUGACAACAGCAGAUCUACAAGCUCGAGACUUUGCGCCGUGUUGAGAGCUUCUAGAUAGGCUAUUUUCACUACUUCUUACAGUAAACGUCUGUUUACUAUUUCAGUUUCUUUGAUUUACUGUAACUUUUUUCCUCAUUAAAUUAGUGGGGAAAACAUUGAAUUCUACUUGUAAUUCAUUGAUUUAUUUGGUCUUUGCGUUUUGAUAAUUACAUUAAUCAAGGGACCCAUAAAUGCCUUGUUGUGACCCACAAAUGGGACCUGAGCAAGCGUUUGAGAAACAGUGGCCUAUAGUACAAUAUAUCGCAUUAUUAUACAAUACUGUAAUGUACUGUUUUGACUGCCUUACUGAACACCUGAAAACACUUUGUUUCCACAGACAUUCUUCGGGAUGGACAGACUUCAUGACUAUAUAUUUGUGGAUGAGGCCGGCUUCAACCUCACCAAAAGAAGAAGAGGCCGUAACCUCAUUGGGCAGAGGGCCAUUGUGAAUGUUCCAGGCCAACGAGGAGGGAACAUCACUCUUUGUGCUGCCAUGAAUUCCAGAGGCCUUGUCCACCGUCAUGCAAUGCUCGGUCCAUAUAACACAGAAUGUCUCGUCACCUUCCUGGGGGAGCUCCGAGAUGUUCUCCUUAACUGGUGGGCCAGCUGAUGAUCCCAUCCAGGACCCUCAAAAUCCUGACCCAGCUGAUCCUAUUUAUGUAAUAAUCUGGGACAAUGUUGCUUUCCAUCGUACCAGAGAGGUCAGAGAGUGGUUUGAACUCAACAACCAGCAAUUUGUCAACGUUUGUCUUGCACCUUACUCUCCCUUUCUAAACCCAAUCGAAGAGUUCUUCUCAGCAUGGCGGUGGAAGGUGUAUGGUCGCCAACCUUACACUAGGGCGAACCUUCUCUCGGCUAUGGACCUGGCCUGUGACGGCGUGCGCGUAGAUGCUCUCCAAGGCUGGGUCCGGCAUGCUAGGGCAUUUUUCCUGCGUUGCCUGGCCAUGGAGAAUAUAGCAUGCGAUGUUGAUGAGGCCCUGUGGCCUGACCCAGCCCGACGAAAUGAUGCUGGCCAAUGAUGUUGUUGUAAGCUUGUCGAAUUUGAGAGCUUGUAGAUGGGCUAUUUUCACUAGAGUAAUUCUUUAAACAUUUGUUUUCUAAUGGAAAAUCUUUGAUUUUGUUCUCUGUAAAGUAUGGUCCAUGGGUGUCCCCAAACCUGUGCAAUGUGACGCGUUGUGAGCUUGUAGUGCAAUUCAUUGCUGUGCAAAGGGUGAUGUUUCCUCCUUGUUGGCCAGGAACAUCCACAAUAGCUCACAGCCUGCCCAAUGCCUCUUUUCUUUUUUAGUGAGGUUGAAGCUGGCCUCAUCCACAAAUACAUUCAUGUACUGUAGUCUGGUGAUGGAGCACACACUGGUGACGAAGGUGUUUGAUUCUGGGUACUCUAUACUGCAAUAGGCCUGCUUCAUGCGCCCCCUCUGAUGCUGGAGUCAGUGGUCAGGCUGAGUUUGUGAAGUUCAGAUUAUCAGCAAAGAUGUUAUCCUGUAUUUCCCCUUAUAUUACAGUAUUCUCCUGAACCAUGUCGAUUCUUGGGAUGCGUCUCCCACCUGCAUGCGGCAGUCUUUCAAAUCUGUGCAGUAAAACAUACUGUCAUUACUGUGAUAAGUUACAACCUGAACAUUGUGUUUUCAUUUGUUACUGUACACUAUACAUAUGUAUUGCAAUGGAUCCUCCAUGGUGUUUACACUGCUUUGCAUUGAGUUGUGAUACAGUAACUGAUUUUUCUUCAUGUGACUAUUCCUAUGAAACACGCAAAUCUAGAGUGCAUGCCCAAUAUAUAUUUGAGAAUAUAUGUAUGUAAGGGUUUCUAAAAAAUGUGUUCUGCAGUGAUGAAACUGUAAAAAGAAUGGUCUCACACUAUGAACAUUGUGUUUUGCAUUUUUUUUAAAGUGUGUGUAAUGAUGCUUGGUAGUGUUUACAUUUUUGCAGGCCUUGAGAGGUAUUGUGUUGUCAAGGUGGACUUUUGAAAAUAUGUGAGACUUUUGAGCAUAGGUGCAAUUGUUUUGGUGUGCUCGAGUGACUUUGAACAUACGUUCUGUUUUGGAGUGUAUGGGUUGGUUUUGGGAAGAGAAUUUGCUGUUGUGUGAAUAGUGCUUGAGUGUUUAGUGUUUAGGGUUGUGGGAAAAGGGGGGGUAGUAUGGUGAAAUGUGUUUUAGCAAUAGAGAAAAACUGUAAUAAAACACUCCCAAAAGAAACUCCAGCACUUUCCCUCUUCAGCUGAAUUUGCAGGGCUGCUGGGUGUAAACCAAGAAACAAACGGCGGUGGUGUUGGUGUGUGAGAAGUUCAGGAAUAACAGGCUAAGGUGAAAGGAUAACAGGAAUCAAACUGUGACAUAAGAAAGAUGAGAGGAUGGAGCAGCUUCCACCAUGACUUCUUCGCCCUAAGUCAGUUGUGUUGUCCUAGAUAAAAGAUGUAGCUGUACUCUGUCACUGUUAAUUAAAGCCAAGCCCUGAUAUUGCAUGUGCUGAUUAGACCUCUUUUCAGGAUGUUGUAGGGCAUGUACAAAGAUUUUUCUUGAUGCCAGCCCUUUAAUUAAACUGCUUUUUGAACCUUCAGUGUUUACUUUGAGUACAUUUCCUAUUCAAGUGGUCCAAUCUUGUAAUUUAAUAGCAGAUUUCUUGGUGUGUGAACUUGAUCUGACCUCAAUCCAAGAAGGAGACAUACUGUGAAGGUUAGCUUUUUGGCACCAAUGAUGUGCUGUUUUUUCAAUGUUUGUCGUGGAAGGCUUUGGGGCAUAGUGAGAUUUGAUCAAAUUUAAGGCUGAUUUUCUUUGUUUAAUGCCUUUGAAGUUUUAACUGAUAACAAAAACAGAUGUUGAUGUCUCAAUGUCACUGGAAAACCCACAAGACCAUAGAAAAGAUGAGUGAUAAUGUCUAAACUGUAUUUUUUGACUUUUUGAACCACUCCUGCAGGGGAUGGUGUUUUGAUUUGACUUGAUUCUCAUGAUGUUUGACUGUGAGAGGACAGCAGCAGAGAUGUGACAUUCGAGAACCAUUAAGUCAUUUCAACAGCUCUUUUAAGUGAACAAUGAGAACCUGUUCACAGUUGUGAGCCGUAUCAGGGUUGUACAAUUCACAUUUUUAUCAUGUCCUUAUUAGAAUUUUAGUUAUAUGUUCUUAUCUAUUAUUUUUACAUUUUUUUCCUAUAUUGUUAAAAUGAAAAUUUUACACUUAAGUUUUUGGCAGGGAAGUUAUCUGCAUGUUUUUUUUUUUUAAUGUACCACAAGAUUGUGUAGGCAAACUCAUACUCAGCUCCUGCUCUCGGUUGCUUGAAAACAAAAAAAUGACGCUACUUCUUCCGGCUGCGUCUCUAUCACUUACAACACUCCUUGUCUUACAACUUUUAAUUUGUUUUGCUCUGGCUCACGGGAGCAUCUAUAGGUGAAAAUGACACAGAGCAUGCAGCAACACGCUGACUUAAAAACUCAAAACUCGCAUUGCAAAUGCAUAAAUGAAUAUCAAAUGAGUAAAUAUUAAUUUAAUAUUCAUUUAUGCAAUUACAACACCUUGAUUUUAGUGAGAUUAGUACUCAGUCAAAGCCAUAAAUGCACUGGUACUAAUAAUUGACAUCAUUUCUUUUGGUGUUUUUUACCUCCGCCAAGGAGGUUAUGUUUUUGGUAGUGUUGGUUUGUUUGUCUGUAAGCAACUUUACGGAGAAAGUAACAGUGCAGAGGUGCGUCUCAGCCCCAGGAGGAUCCCAUUAAAUUUUGGUGGUGAUCUGGACAAAAUUCCGGAUACUGUGAUCCAGAACACACAAAAAUAAGGGUGUCGUUGGAAUUUUCAGUGCUGAAAGAUAACCAAUGGGCAGCACAGUGGUGUAGAUAGGUGGUACAGUGGUGUAGUGGUUAGCACUGUCACCUCACAACCAGAAGGUCCUGGGUUUGAAUCCCGGGUAGGGCAUUCCUUGUUUAAGGGGGGACAUAAGCUGCUUGGCGGAGGUCUGCGCUCUCUGAGUGCUUUUCUAGUUUUGUAUUUGGUUUUGGCCAAAAAGUUUCAUUUCAUUGCAUCCCUACUUUAAACGGUCACUGCACAAUAAGAAUCCCAUCAGGGAAAGACCAGAUCAGUUCUUUUGAACUGAAGAAAAGAUGGCUGGAAUCGAUAAAUGUGGGAAAUAUCAUCUUGCAAUUUAAAGGCAGUUAUGGAACCUAAAAACCACAAAGCUUCUCAAUCAAAAUUGAUGUUGUGACUUCAGAUGUCCAGAUAAACAUACUGGGUAACUUUGGUCAGGAUCAAACCAAAGUCCUACAACUGAUGAGGUUUGCGGUGGGGAUUAUUUGCCCUUUGCUGAUUUCACAUCAUACUGAUUCCAUUAGUGAGGUGUAAACCAGCCACUGUGUCCUCUGUAACUGUGUUAAAAUCCACUUAGAGGCAUCUUAGAGGUGAAAGAGAUUGCAGAUGUGCUGGACGCUGCUGUUGUCACUGUGCCACCAAAGAAGAGGAGGAGAAUUACUUCACUCCAAUAAUCACAUCAACCACCUGAGAGCUUGCUAAUGUGUCACUGCUGCACACACAGGUGUAUUUGCUGUAAACCCACACAUGCAUACAAAAAUGCAUUAGCCUGCAAGUGCUCACAGAUUUACAUCUACUUAUCAUAAAGCUGAAACAGUUAUUUUAAUUUAUCCAGAGUGAAUGUAAAACAUAAAUCAGUGUAUAUGCACUUGUUUUAUCUCUUGCUUCUCUCAGCGUGCUCCUCCAAUUACCUGCCGUCAAAGGCUUUAUUCUGUCCUCAUCCUGCAAUGUCUCUUUUUUUCCUCUGAGAACAAGGGAGCAUUUUGUUCCAAUUAGUCUCAGCAGACAAGCCUGCAGCAGCCACUCAGCCAGUCCUUAGGAUGAAUAAACCCAACACACCUAGCUCUCCUCCGACAGGUUAACUCAAAAUACGCUGCAGGCAGAGAGUAUGAAGCGCAGCAGAAUGAAAAGUACAGUGAAGAUAAUGAAAUUAAAAGAAACAAUGGCAGUAUAAGAGAGAGUACCAGCAAAUGACACGGAUCAAGACAACAGAGAUGAGCUGUAGUGGAGGGGAAUUAAACAAUAUGGGUAACAAUGGAUGAUUUAAAAUGAAUUUGAGAUGUCUCUUGAGUUGAGGUAGGAAUCUGUCUUUUUGAUCACUCAGUGAGUUCAUUUUUAGACAGUGAGAGAAUUUCUUUUUAAAUCUGUUUGUGUUGUCAUAAGGUCAAAACCAUCUGCUGCCUCAGGUUUUGAAGUCUGUCCUCCAGGGCUGUAACACUUGGCUUAUUCUCAAACCAGCUCAAGGAAAACUUUACUUAAAAAGCAAAAAAUUCAAUAACACGACACCCUUUUCUGCUUUUUUUCCCUGAGACUUGACUGAGCCUUGAUUCAUUUGACACGCAAUUCAUUUAGACUUGGCAUAACACCCCACAGUUAUCAGUGCAUUGUACUUUAACAAGAAGGGCUGUUUGUGUUGAUCACACAUCAUUGUAAAUGUGUCCAUAUAAUGCUCCAUAAAGCUUUUAUCAUCAACAAUGGAUAAGUGUGCUGCACAAGAGUACCUGAAUGACAAAGAUACAAGGUCUUCCACUGUUCACAGCAGAAUGAAAAUCAGCAGACAUGAACAGCUUCUUAAUGUGUGCAUCAUACAGUUGUGUGGGACAGGUAGAGAUGUUAGGAAUAAAUCCAGGAUUGGGUACAUUUUUGUUAUGAAUAAACCUGAACAUGCAUUUUUCUUCAUUAUCUAUCAGCAAACACAUAACAGAUUCAGCUCUAUGUUCCAAUUUUAUAUCAGAUAGUUUGAUAACAGCUGAGAUCUCAGAGGUAGACUUCCAACUGAGUGUGCACCAAUGGUAAGGUGACCAGGUCCCCGGCAAUAACCCUGAUUUAAGCCAUGAUUUCAUGAAUUAGAAAAAAAAUGUUGCAUGAUGAUUAGAACAACGGUUAUCAUGGUAGCCAAGUAGGUAGGAAGAAUGUUGCACGCAGUCCUGAACAACAGUUUUUAAGGGGGGCAUGCACUGCUACUAAGUAGUACGGUCUGGUCACCUUAACCCAGUGAUUUUCAACCUGUGUGCCAAGAGAGAUCAUCAGAUGUGCUGUGGGAAAUUAUCCUAUUUGCAAAUAAUAUGCCAAUGUCGACUGUCUGUGCUGUAAUAAAGUGAGCGUCAGAGCAGUGCUCUUCUAUGUCACUGGGUGGCAGCAAGCUGCUAAUUGCCUGGAAAAAAAGUGAAAACAAAAAGGGGCUGGGAGCUGUUGAGGAAAAGCUUAGUGUAUGUCUUUCUUCCUUUCCUGCCAGGAUAUAAGCUUUGUGUUCAUCUAAAUGGCCAGGGCACACACUGAGUGAGAAUAAAAAAAUUUAGAAACUAUAUUACUAAUUUUUAGGGAUGCACUGAAAAUUCGGCCACCAAAAUGGCCAAAAAGUGAAUUUUUGGUUAUUGGCCGAAACACUUUUCUCACCGAAACAUCACGGCCGAAACAGAUGUUGUGAUGACGCAAGCAAAAACCGCAACCAGUACGUGCUUGUCUGGAUAAGAGCCAAAGUGUCUGCUGUGUAGACGUAUUUCUAUGUAUCUGAGUGACUGGCAUAGCAUUUAUUGCUAAAAUUUCCAGAGGGGGUGCAUCUGCAAAUAGUUUCUUUAUGUCGGGUUUAAUUCAUCACCUGAUAUCCAAACAUCCCUAUCACCAUUCUACAUAUGAGAUGAACACGGCACAGAACAGGAAAAUCCCUCCAAGCACGCCCACUCUGUCUGUGGGGGAUGUUGCAACCGAGUACACAUGCAAAAGGUGGGGAAAGAUUCACUUCUUCUCACUUUUAUUGAUAGAUUUAACCGAAAUCAACAUUGCAGACUCAUGCUCAGCUCCUGCUCUCGGCUGACUGAAAGUAAACAUACUGAUGCUACUUCUUCUAGCUGUAUCUCUACCGCCCACAACAGCUUUUGAAUUGAUUUUGUCCCUGACUCAAAAACUCAAAACUCACGUUGCAUUAAUUAAUAUUAAUCUAUACAAUUGUAAUGCCUUGAUUUUAGUGAGAUUAGUACACAGUCAUAGCCAUAAAUGCAAUGGUACAAAUAAUUGGCAUAAUAAUUUCUUUUGGUUUUCGGCCUUGGUUUCCCCAUUUUCAGUUUUGGCCAAUGUGUUUUAUUUCAGUGCAUCCCUGCAUUCUAUAAUAUAUACUGUGUUAGACUAUAGAGUGUCAUUUUGGUUGGUAGUGUGCCCCAGGAUUUUGUCAAUGUAAAAAAUGUGCCGUGGCCCAAAAAAGUUUGAAAAACACUGCCUUAACCAAUGGAGGUCUAACUACACAUGGGUAGAGCUGCUCUUGUGAAGCGAGUAAAAAAUAUUCAUUCACGCGUCUAGAUCCACGUCCCAUUAAUUAAAGUCUGUUUACUGCUGAUGAAAAUCAUCUUAUUUCCUAAAGAAAGCAAAGAUCCAACUUCCUAUCUUGCGUGCACCUAGACGAAGGUCAAACUGCACACACACUCAUGAAGGCCCACUGUGCACUGCAGCCAGGUACGCUUGUAUUUUUAUUAUCAGUCAAAAAUUCUGAUGCUCAAAAGACCAAAUGUAAAAUAACUGCAACAUGUCAACUAUGUCUUUGUGGAGUUUACGGUUUUGAGUCUGCUCUUUAUUCAGUGUGUUGAAUUGAUAGUAUACCUCUAUUAGCUCCAUAGCUAUGCAGUAUUAUUAAUUUUAUAUUCAUUAUGUUGCUGCAAACAAUACAUGAACUCUUUUAGUUUUCUUUUUGAACAAGUAAUUGAUAACCAACUGUCUCAAGAUCAACUAUGAACUUGUGUCCCCAGUGACAAGACAAGCUUGGAGAGUGUCAGGGUAUGAUUCUUCAAAUAAAUCUGAGAAAGGCUACACACUGGUUGCUCUGCAUGCAUUACCUUUAUUUUUCUAACACACCUGUAUAAAUGUAGCUCCAGCGUAGGCCCAGUCAGGAAGACUAUACUGCUGUCACAGAAGCUGUCAGAAGACAGAAGUGUCUUUUCCUCUUCCAUACUUACUUGCUUUUCCUGCUGUCAUCACUCAGCACAGUCCAUGGUUAAUCAGCCUCUCACCAGUGUCCUCUUUAUCCAAUAGUACGGUAGCACACCCUCACAGCCAGCCUAUUGCUGUUCUGCUCUCAUUUUUAAAAAUGAAAAUUUCUCCGUCUUUUUCACUGUUGUUUUCUGAGCGUCCUCCACCUCCCCACCCCCUCCCGGUCUCAGCAGAAUCAACAGUGCUAUAAUUCAUCCAUCUGGUCGCAGCAAGUCAUCAGCCACCACUACCAGCUUCAGGACUUCAUUGGUAGAUUUUCCUGCCAGACCAGGAAUCCUACAAUCUCAAAAAUCACCCCAUGGUGUCCAAUUGCCAAAAAAUUUAUGUCAAGAAACAUUUUAAUAAAUGUCAAAUAUAUAUUUUUUAUUCUCUAAAAUUUAUCUCUCUGCUGGGGUCAAAUGGUUCACAUUGAUUUAUAAAACUGCUGUUAAAGUAAGCUCUUACUGUUCUUUAUUCAUGCUGUUAAAUGAAACUUCCUGGUGUUUUUUCCCAGCUUAUGUAAACCGAGUGAAAAUUUAGAGACUCUUUGUUGAUAUGAUACUGCUGCUCUUACUUUCUAUCUGCCUCUAAAUUCAAAGUAAGUUAAAAUUAUCCUACAUUUCUAAAAAAAAAUUGUGCAUAUGGAGGAGGGCUGUCAGUGUUUAUGGCAAUGAGAUUAAAUUCUGAAACGUGACGUGUGACUGUUUUUUUUAAUCACACGUCAUUUUUACCCUUUUGGCAUACCAAAGUUCAGAUGCUUUGGUGUCAUUCUGACAUGUCACUGCAGGUAAACCAAACUAAUGUCAGCAGCAAAUGCAUGUUGAAGUGCGGGAUGCUCUGCUUCUUUCCUGAGUAGCUAUAAGUAAACAACAGCCUAUCUAACCAUUUCUACUAAUUUAGGUAAAUUAGAGGGGUGUUGAACAUUAGCUGUUUUUGUUUAUUUAUCUAAACCUUAUUGUACUUAAUAAAAUUCCAUUUUCCUGUGUGGUGUAAAUCUGUUACACCAAAGUAAAGCCUGAUAGAAAGGGAAUAUGCAAACCACUUUCAGAGAGAGCAGAGUUUACCUUAAUGAACCUGUUUCAUGGGUCUGGUACAAAGCAAGCUGGUGCUCCGGAUAAGUUUAUUGUAAUGUAGUCAUCAUGAAUGUUCCACCUGUGCUUUUCUUACCAAAGCAAGCCAAGAUACUUACAGAGAGAUCAUUAAAGUGUGAAGUGUGAAUGAGGAGAUUAGAUACAACAUGGUCUCUGGAUUUAUCCAACAACCCUCGCCUUGAAUGUUUUUUUUUUUUUUUUUUCCAAGUUGAACAUCCUUGUUAAGGUAAACUCUUCCCCCUCCUCAACUUUGCUUUAUCUUCUCUUCCCCAUCUGUCUUAAUCUCAUUACACAUGUCAAUAGAUGACCAGCUUAUUCCCCAGUGAUAAACAGCACCAUUACCUCACAGUGACCCCCAGCACUGUUUACCUUGUUAACAACGCUCUGGACCCCAAACACUCUCAUUUCCUAUACUCCGGGACCCAUAUGCAUAUGUGUGUGUUUGUGUGUGUGUGUGUGGCCUCUAAGAGACACCUUGGCCAACAUUGACGGUGUUUGUUCAGUUGUCCUGCAUUACUCCCAGUGAUGCCUUUAUUUGAAGUUGUAGUGAAAGUGGUGCUGCUGGGGCUUGAUCAGCUGAAAGGGUAACAUAGGAACAGGAAAGAAGUUGUUUCCUGGGUCAGACAUCAUCUCUUUAGAAGGUUGGGAUGGAUUGGUCAAAGCUAACCAAAUCUUUACGAGAUUAUGAUAAAAUGAGUGGUUAUAAAGUUGAUAAUGGUGUAGAAACCUGACUAAAUCAUAGCAAGAGGGUAAGAAGACAAAUGCAAAGCUGAGAUUUCAUUGCUCAUUUUCACAACAAUAAAAAGCGAGAGACAGCUGGAUCAAUUUAAUAUAUAAUUAGUACAAGCUAUGUUUAGCAUGCAUUCAUAAGAACUGAUAACAGAAUUGGGGGCAGGUGUUAGGUUGUGGUGGAAAAGGAUGAUAUAGGAAACCAUUUGCAGGCAUAGCCAGAAUCAGGCUCUUGAAUGUUAACAAAAAGGCUCCUGGAUGUUCAAAUUGAAGAGAAAACUUCUUUAAGAGUUCAACCAAAGGUUAAAAUGGUUUGCUGUUGUCUUUGGUGUCAUCCCCAGCCUCAGCUCCACCUACUUCCCACUCAUGUAGACCUGGUUUUAAUAAACUGCUCUUGAUGCUUGCUUGUACAUUUCAUCAGGGGUGUUUCUGAGGGUCAUUGAGUGUUUUGGGGUUUUCUUUAAAUGCAUUGACCUCAGCCAGAGCAACAGCUGUGCGUUAUUGGCCUUUAUGUUGCCUUUUCUGUGGUGUAGUCCCAUAAUCCCAAAGACCCUGAAGACCUAGCAGAAUAAGUGGCCUGUGAAUCCUCUUUAUUCAGUGUGCUACCAUUUAUCAAACUGAACAAAAACAAUGUAGGCACCAAUCCAAUACUAGUCUCUUUUUGUAGAGAUGCUUUUUUUUUUUUUUUCUCGCUACAUGGCAGAUGGCUGUCUUCUUAGGCAAGGUACUUAUCUCAUUCUUGAUAUUCUAACAGCCUUCUUUAUUUAAAUUUGAGGAUGGGCUCCUUACUGUUGCCCCUAAUUGUAGGUUAGUGCCAGUGAAUGAAGUUGCAGCAUGAUCCCCAGCUCUUGCUUCCAUUUUUUGCUGUCAUAAGUUAAUGUGAACUGAGUUACAAGUCGUACUUGUCAAAAGCACAAGCAAGUUGUCCACUUCGCUCUUGCUUGAGGAUCUUCAAAGUGAAUCUUAAUCAAAAGGCUUGCCCAGGCUUGACAAAAGGUGAUGAGCCAGCUCUCAGUGCCAGUCUAAGCCCAUAAUUUAACAGACUGGUCUUCACUUGCAAUUAUUUUGGCCCUUGAAAUCCCCUUGUUUCUGGUCUAAAACUCAUUUUUUCCCUCAAGGAUUUGAUCCACAUCCAUAUCAAACUGGAGCCACUGUCUCCCUGUUGUUGGCCACUUAACCCAGUGUUUUCUGACUGCCUGUUAUGGGGUGCUGUUAGAAGCGUGGGGGUUUCACAAUUCUUCAAGAGUGGGACUCAACCUUGGUGCUUUCACCUCUUAAAAGGUCCUGGACAUGUCCAUUGCAUCACUUUAGGCAAAUCAUUCAGCUUUUUGCAGUGAGGUAUAUCAUUGUUGUAAACUGUUUUUUGUCUAUCUAUUUCAACUAACACAACCCACUUCUUGGAGUACAAACUAUGUGAUUUCUGAACAUGUGAUUUCCAGACUCCUGAAGGACUGUGCAGACCAGCUCUGUGAGGUGCUACUGCACAUCUUCAGCUUGAGCCAGAGUCUGGAGAGGGUCCCAGCACUGUGGAAGACUUCCUGCGUGAUUCCUGUCCCCAAGACAGCACACCCCAGGGAGCCCAACCACUUCAGACCUGUGGCCCUCACUUCUCACCUGAUGAAGACGCUGGUGAGGAUCGUGCUGAGGAACCUCCGCCUCCUGGUGAGCUCUCAUCUGGAUCAUCAGUUUGCGUACCUGCCAAACAUCGGGGUGGACGACGCUGUCAUCUACCUGCUGCAGAGGUCCAUGGCUCACUUGGAGAACACUGGCAGCACUGUGAGGGUCAUGUUUUUUGACUUCUCCAGUGUUUUCAACACCAUCCAGCCUUCACUGCUCAGGGGGAAGCUUGAGAGACAGACCACAGUUUGUGAGGCUUCAGAACUGUGUGUCGGACAUGGUGGUCUGCAGCACGGGGGCUCCACAGGGGACAGUGCUCUCCCCCUUCCUCUUCACCCUGUACACCUCGGACUUCAACUACAACUCUGGGAGCUGUCACCUCCAGAAGUUCUCUGAUGACACAGCCAUCGUCGGAUAAGCGGAAAUACAGGACUGUCAUCACUGACUUUGUCAACUGGUGUGGCACAAACCACCUCCAGCUCAACGCCAGUAAGACAAAGGAGAUGGUCGUGGAUUUCCGCAGGAGGAGGACACUUUAGACUGUUCCAGUGAACAUCCAGGGUCUGGACAUCGAGAUGGUGGAGUCCUACAGAUUCCUGGGUGUCCACCUCAACAAUAAACUGGACUGGUCAACCAACACAGACGUUCUGUACAAGAAGGGCCAAAGUCGUCUCCACCUGAGGAGACUGAGGUCCUUUGGAGUGUGCAGGACUCUGCUCAGGACUUUCUAUGACUCUGUGGUAGCAUCUGCACUUUUCUAUGCAGUGGUCUGCUGGGGGGCAGGGAGCACCGAGAGGGACAGUAAGAGACUGAACAGACUGGUCAGGAGGGCCAGUUCUGUCCUGGACUGCUCUUUGGACUCCCUGGAGGAGGUGGGUGAGAGGAGGAUGUUAGCAAAGCUUGUAUCCAUCAUGGACAAUCCCUCUCACCCACUGCACCAGACUGUGGGGGCUUUAAGCAGCUCCUUCAGCAGCAGACUGAGACGACCACCUUGGAAAACGGAGCGCUACCGCAGGCCAUUCCUCCCUUCUACAAUAAGACUUUACAACGAACUGUAAUAAAACUGGACUCACACCACCACUUUUUUCUGGCAUUUAAAUUGUGUAUAUAGUAUAUAGUUUUAUUUUUCUCCUCCCCUUUUCCUUUUCCUAAUUUUUUUUAUUAAUUAUUACAUUUAUUUAAGUUCUUAAUAUUAGGAUCUUUAUUUUUAUAACUGCAUUUUUGCACUCUUUGUCUGUGAUGCUGCUGUGACAAAAAAUUUUUCCCCAUGGGGGAUCAAAAAAGGAAUAUUCUAUUCUUCUAUUCUAUCCCGGUGUUCGUCAUGACCACACAUGUAGCAAGGGGUUAACAUGAUGGAGUUAUCAAGCAUAUAAAGUGAUCCUUAAGUCCUGGUGGAUUUAACAAUGACAAAAACCGUGUGUGUGUGAGAGAGAGAGAGAGAGAGAGAGAGAGAGAGAGAGAGAGAGAGACAAAACAUGUAUGUGUGAUGACUCACUUCUCAGCUGUGAGGAUUACAUGUGCUACCCUAAGCUUUAAGCAGAGCUCUUUCAGGGAUCUGAGGGGAUAAGAAUGCCACAUGCCUUUAUGAAAGUAUGAGCUAAUUAACUCACCUCUCCCAUCUCAACCAUCCACACACACCCUGACCUUUUCACACCCUUCUGACCUACACAAAUGCUGCAGUGGUUCUGAACGCAUGUGUGAACUUAAAAGCACCAAUCUGUAGUUAUUUCUGUACUUUCCAUUUUAUGUACCUUGAGGCAUCGCUAAAGGCUAAAGCCUCUAGGAACACCAGCAAAUCAUGCUGUGGAGAAUCCCUCCACUGUCUCCCAUUAGACUUGUUUUCCCCCUAACCUUACUUUGGUUUCUGCUUUCACCUUACAACUGCAGCUCUGUAAAAACCUUAACCUACAUUUUAGCAUUUUAAAAACAUGGCCUAACCUUCACUCUUUUCUCCACAAAGCAUUUGCCAUUUUACAAGAGGCAUCUAGUUAAGAACAUCUGAAUAAAACAUGACACAAGCAACAUUGUAGCACUGGGUGAAAAUCCCCUGGAGUACUGGAUGUGGAAUUCUACUGAAAUGUUUCAUCAGCCGAUGAUAUGAAUAUGUCUCACACUUCUGCAAGAGGAAUCAGGGUCAUGCUGCUGCCAAACUGUGUGGAUAAAUCCUGGUCAAUUUAAGGAAUUGCAAGACUCUAGAAAUGAUAAGAGUUACUUUUAGAGAUGAAUGAUAAUGUUUCUUUUUGUUCACUUCAAAUUUCCCUCUUGUUCUCUCUCUUAAACUCAAUCUGAUGCGCACUUUGGGCCUACUUGGCCCGACACAUAACAUGAUUACAAUACGAUACAAUACAGUACAAUGC